This 86343-nucleotide long non-coding RNA is filed under the name Triticum aestivum (bread wheat). RNAcentral's name for it is "long non-coding RNA (TAES_LNC023157)". The stretch from base 25651 to 25785 matches the Rfam family "MIR1120/MIR1122 microRNA precursor family". Lineage: Eukaryota; Viridiplantae; Streptophyta; Magnoliopsida; Poales; Poaceae. The record is from RNAcentral.
UUCAGUUGUUACCUCAAAUUAGAGCACAUCCAGGCAGCCAGCCCUGCCUCUUCUCCCAAAGAAGCAGUGGCCUCCGCCACGUGAUGGAGUAGGCCCCAUGCCAUCCAUCAUUUCGGGCAACACGGGGAAAGUGUGACAUUGACUCCUGUAAUGGACGUCGUCGACGGACCCUGGCACCAGCGGUGGUGGUAGGACUUCGAUUGAUGGAUUGACCACUUCUUCAACAUGCACGAACACUCGAUACAGGUACGUCCCUAACGUGGUCCGCGGCAGCCUUGGUGGUGACGAAUAGUACAACCCCGGUUCCUCCAUCGGUAUCUCAACACCAAUCACCUUCAGUAUGGUGGACGGCUUCUUCAUCCAUGCCAUAACCGUCAGAGCCCAGCUGUCUGGAGGAGCAAACAUACUUACGAGCUCACCUCCAAUGUCGUUGAUAAGCUCGUUCAUGGACUCGCUGUUCCAAGCACGUCGAGGCAUGCCGUGUAAGGUAGGCUUUGUUAAAAACUCAAGCUUAGAGGGCACCGAGCCCCAUCCUGGGUGCCACCGAUCAAAGCUCACCAGCGCGCCAUUGCAGAACAAACGCUGGGAAGAUUCUAACAAACGACUACAGUCGAAAGUUGUCUGGUUCAUAAGAACCUGACAAUAAACAGUUCGAAACAAUGAUAUAUACAACAUUCAAACACUGACUAGUGACUACUACUGACAUAAACGGCAAGACAUGAUAGUUCAUAAGAAGUCUUGCUAUACCACCAAAACGCACCCAUCUGCAGCGCUCAGAAUCUCGUGAUCCAGACGAGAAUGACAUUCUAAACAGAAGCAACUAUUACAUAGUAAGAGUGACAUAGACGAGGAUGACCAAAUGACAAGGAAUAUGCAUAACAAAAGAAAGAACUACCCAUCCAGAACCAGCAACAAAGACAACAAAGUCAUUCAGAGAGAUGAUCCAACACCAUCAUAGUUUGCAGCCCCGCUUCAGCGACCAGUGAUCUGGAGACACCAGUACUCCACCCUUUCGAUGCAACAGCCCAAUUACCUAUCAACCUGAAGGCUUGAACCACAUCACUGCCUAUCGUAAUUGAGACAUCCAAGGAUCAAAGUUAAUCCGGAUGCCUUUUUCAUUCUCACCUUCUUUUGGCUGUAGGCUGUAUCGUUGACAAUCAAGGGAGUUUGCUCCCGAACUCCUAGGGCUCGCCGUGUAGACACAUUUUUCCAUAGCAAGCAGAGCCUCUCUGCCAUCAAGGUCCUUGCCAGCGGUGAUCUCCUGGUUAAUCGGAUAAUUGAGUCCAAGAAACAGAGAGUGUGAACCAAGGUUGUUUACCCGCCUCCAACUAAAAAAUCCUAAAGGCCCCAACAAGCUGGUAUCCUGCUCAUAGACAUAACAACCACUGUCCGGAUACUCACGUAUUACAUGGUGCUUGUAUACAGUGUUUUUUUUUGCAAUAUAACUUUUCCGGCUCAUGUGUCUGAAUGAUCAUCAGUCUUUUGCCAUUGUCUGAUCGAGCGAGGAACCAGUUGUGCUUCCCUAUUUUUGGCAAAGGUGGUGUGAUUACAAAGGGCAGUAACUAUAGGGACACUACAUCAUAUCAAAAAGGACAGGCAUUGUUAAUGUAAGAUCAACAUUGUGCAGAGUAUGAGUAGGAUAAUGCAAGAAACAGCAUUGAUAUGUCCCUGUUGGAACUGGGAGGAAAAUACAGGGAAAUAUAUACUGGGUUCAAAAAUAUAGAAGUGCCAUGCAUGGUUAUACUCAUAUUAUCUCGCAAUCGAUUCUUCACAGGAAACUACCAUGUCAUGCAUGUUAUGUAAUCAUGUUCUGUCCUCACAAACAAAUCCUUCAAGGUAACUAAUAGACCAUGCAUUGUUAUAUACUCGUGUUCUAUGGGCCAAAAAUUGUGAGGAUAUUAUUCUAGCCAUUGAUUGCUGAAGGGCGAAUAUAGGUAUGUACACAUGGUAAGCAUUGCAGGAUUUCACUACUUCCAAAUAUAGAGUUCUCCAUAUGGACAUUUACUUCCCUAAUGUAUGGUUAGAUGAAACCAGCAGUGUAGUGCAUGUUUCUACAUCAUGAAAAUGAGGAAACUAACAUGGCCAUUGAUACAAACUCAUAUUUAGUAGUAGUAUAUAGAUUACUGUAAAAUACGGAUAAUAUCCACGUAUUGCUAACCGUUUGAUUAUUCAGGGUACAAAUUGGCUGUAAUGACAUGGUCACAAUCGCAUGAAUUAACUCAUUCCAAAUAUAGCUGAUUUACGACGUCUCUAAUACAUUGCCAUAGUUCUACUCAAAUUCUUCUCAAACAGGGAUAUGCCAAUCAUCAUAAAAGUUCAAACAGUGUCAUGGCGUCAUCAUUAACAUGAGAUGGAAACAACUUACACGCGCCGUCCCAGCAAUACAUGGUGCCAUCUGCUUUGUCAAUCUCGUAGAUGAUGCCAUUGUGUUCAAUAGCAUCACAGAAGUGUGUAUCAGCUUUGGCGAUGAUCCACUGCGAGCUGGGUUCUCUCCAGCUAAAGAAGGCACCGACAUAAAGAUAGGAGAGUCCGCGGUCGAAUAAGGCAAUUAGCUUGAAGUCUGCGUAAUUCGCAUGUCAUGUGGGCACUUGGCAGAUUACAAUCUUCUGCAGAACAAGGUCCGUCCAACUGACAUGGUAAUCUAGAUGACUUGGACCGCGAUGGUAAUACUCUAUACAAUCCAACGGAGGAAGGAUAAUCUCAUGGGAGGUAUGGAAGUUCAGGAGCACCAACUUUUUACCGUCUUCUCUGAAGGCAGCCAUCCAGUGGGAGUUCAUGCCGACCCAGUACAUACCUGCCAAGAAGUUUCAGGCGAUGGUGAUCGGAUCGAUGUCGAGGGAAAUGAUGUACGGCGACCCACUACAUACCUGCAAAGAAGUUUCGGCUAAUGGAGAUCGGAUUGAAGUCGAGGGGCAUCAUGUACGCCUCCGUAUCAAGGUGAGCCAAUCUCGCAAGACCAGAUAGCAGCAAGCAGGGUGUCUUGAAAAGCUUAGGCCUCUCUUCGAUGAUGGCCGUGUGCAUGUCCCUUGAGCAUGCAGCCAGCCGCAGGGCGCUCAACAUAUCCAUACACGAACAACAGAGGUCGAGGAUGUCACUGGGGAGAUUGCUCCAAUCGUGGCUCAUAUGGAUGCUGCGUGGUUCGCGUUCGGCCAUGGUGGAGUUUGGAAGGUGGGGUUUUUGGGGGGCUUGAUUUACGAGGGAGAAGGCUAUUGGUGCUGGAGCAGCUAGCGAGGGAAUAGUGGUACUGGGGGAGGCGAGUGAGGCGACGGUACACUGGGGCACAGUGAGAUGGAGAUGGAGACGGAGAAGGAGAUGGAGAUGGAGUGGUGCUAUGGGAGCGGAGAGGGAGACGAGGCGAGGCGCCAAUGUGCUGUACAACAGCGAUGACAGACUGCACAGUGCACAGGGUGAGGCUGACUUUGGUAAUCCGAACAAGUCGCGUGGACUAGUGUCAGGCGCAGGGUGUUGUCACUUCACUAUGAGGACCGGAUGAAUAUUAUUUUGACCAUCAAGUGUACCACAGUUGUACUACUACUACUACUAGUAGGAACAUGAGUACUCCAGUAUUGUAUAGCGGAAAUAGGUCUCCCGUGUUAGCAUACCUGUUCACUUCAUCGUUCAGGUAUCAUCCAUAUUGCGAGCAGAACCAAAUUCUCGUGCAUGCCCAAUCAACGCCCUACCGCGAUCAUGCAGUGGUUGUUCUGGUGCAUCAAGGACGGCAUGCAGAUAAUUCCACACUUGAGAAGAGGAAAAUGGAAAGGUAGAACGCGGCAGCAGAGGAAGAGAAUGCUGGUUAACGAGGCUGGGAGGGGAUCGAGCAGGAAGUUAAUGCUCCACGCCUAAAGGUUUUGGGAAAACCUGAUUUUCAUAAGGUGACUUAUACUCACCUAAACGGAGGGAGUAUUCCUUAACCAGAGAAUGUUGUGUCUCCCACUCACGCGCUCAAAAAAAAGAAGCUACGACACAUUUUUUUAUCUGUUUGCAUAGGUCCCACCUAUCAGGCAGGAUGGGCAUGUACACGAACAGGUACGACUCAUCAGUCUACCCGCAUAGCCUUUUCGUUUAGUCUACCUAGCCGUCUAAUCAACUGCCUGCACUCCACUUCUCCCAUUUACUUCUCCAUCGGGAACCGAUUCUCCUUGGCUUCUUCACCUCUCCUUCGUCUUCAUUUGCAUCCAAACCCCACUGCGUUCACAUUGUUUUAACCUCUUUAAAUAAUCAUCUACUACUUUAGUUAGACUAGCCAUCUAAUCCUAAUUCUCCAAACCAUAGCCCUCUGUUCCAGCGGUUCCAAAUGGCGAAAGAGAUCGAGAUGCAAGUUUUUAGCGUCUAACAUGUCCUCGUCGAAGGAUUGAUGCGCAUAGUUGCCACCGUCACCGUCCACCCAAGGGUUCUUCGGCAGUGGAUCAACAAUGUAUCCAACUCCCUUGAAAAGGUAGAGACAAGGGUCAUCGGUCUCGACGCAGAGUACAUGGAGCGUGCCCCUCGAAAGAUCCAGCGCACCGCCGUCCUUCAGCUAUGCCUCGAAGAUGAUGUUUUGGUGUACCACAUCAUACACUCGCCCUCCAUACCAGGUGAGCUUCACGAUUUCUUGUCUCGGGAGGACAUAUACUUCUGUGGGGCAGCCAUCAAAGGGAACAAACAGAAGCUGGAGCCGUACAACCUUGAUUUGAAAAGCAUCGCUAACCUACAAACCAGAAUCAAAAUUCCUGUAGAAGAUUGUGAUAAGCAGACACCAUCCCUAUUCGACGUAGCAAAAUUUGUGCUCGGUACAAAUCUUCAGAAGGGUGACGAGACGGUGGCAUUAAGGUCGUCUGGAUGGGAGAAUUAUCUCUUGACAUACGAGCGGAUAAAAUAUGCUGCCCUCGAUGCCCGUGUGAGUUUCGAGAUAGCUGCAAGGUCCAAAGAGCUUGUUGCGAAGCCGUCUCCCAUGGAGAAUGAGAACAAGAAGAAGAAGAAGAAGAAGAAGAAGAAGAAGAAGAAGAAGAAGAAGAAGAAGAAGAAUAGGAAGAAGAAGAAAAGGCUGCACCAGCAGGAGGGCAUUAUGGAUGGAUGAACUAUUUCCUCUCGUGUAAAAAAAAUAUUCCCUCUCGGUGUAUAUUGAUAUAGAUGGACUAUUUUGAUGGUGUGCAUGUCUUUGGAACAGAGUAGUAGCAUGGGUCCGCUUGAAUAUAAGGAACUAUUUAUCCGCAUAUAUAGCUUUCUCUGCUACUCCUUCCAGUGAUCGGUAUGUUGUGCAUGUGUCUGUAGACAUGACAGCUUGUCCAUGGAAGUUCAACUACGGCGACCAUCACGUUUCAUCUCGCGAUUCCCACGACGCCUCUCCAACCCACGACACCACGCCCCCCGACGUGCUCCUCACCGCUCUCAGCCGCACCGCCCCUCUGCCUUUGUGUGCAUGACAUGUGGGCCACCUAAAAUGCGGCGAGCAUCAAAUUUCUACCACAGCCACACGCGAUUCCCACGACGCGACUCGAACCCAUGACUCCACACGUCCCCCGACCUGUGGCGCACCCCUCUUGGCCCCACUGCCCCUCUGCCUUCGGAAGCAUUACAUGUGGACCAGUCACCUAUCGGGUCCACAUGUUAUUGACUCAAAGGCGCUGAAGCUCAGUCCCGACGGCCCUGAGAGGGAAAUGUAACUCCUAUGUCAGGGCUUGUGGUGCUCCCGCAGCACGAACUCGUGCCAAACUCGAGAUUUGUUUCUUUACUAUACAUGCACACAACGAUUUAAUGGACAUUGUAAUCUCAACAUGUGAUGGGGAGCUCUAAUUUUGAAUUUGAAACUUAUAAAACGAAAAGAUUCAAAACAAAUAAACUGGGAGAGAGGGAGUAUAUCAUAGGAUGUGUCCCAUACAAAAUAAGUCCCCUGGUUUGUCACUGCGAAGAUGCGGUUAGAAAGGAGCACAACGUCUUCCUACUCGUACGACAACAAAUCGGCCGCAGACAGCAUGGUCCGCCUUUGACCGCCAUGUGCAAGGUUCAUGCUAUCUUAUUCAAUCUCACCAUGGUUCCAUCAUACCAAUUCAUGCGGUGGCCCGUUGCAUGGCUGAUCCUAAUGCUGGACAAAGGUUCUAUGGGAAUGGUGUCACCAUUGUAAAUUUUGUGAAAAUUGAUGUUGGUACCCUCCCGUACAUAUGCAAGCCAAUCUCCACUCGCACCGAGCCUAACCUGUGAAACAGUGGGCAGGGGGAAUUUGGAAAUGGACACGAAAGUAGUCUUUAGAAUGCAUUUACUACGUGAUCAAACUCAUCUUACCUGCUCAUCGGAGGAAAUUCGAGUGCCCCUCAACGUCGGCAUCUCAAGGGGCGUCAACUUGCAACUACGGCCACGCCGCGCUGGAGAGACCCCCAAGGAAACAUCCUCGUGCAUUCCACGGAACAUCAAGAUGCAUUUGUAUGAGUAUUUUAGCUUCUGAUAGAAAAGGAUGAGCGAGGGAAGGCCUCUGGAGAUAGAGAUGGACACUACUACUACCAAUGCGCUGGCCCGUGCAUUGCAAUGGAUCCAAAGUAGUAGAAUAAUACUUGUUCACGUGCUUGAAAUAUAAACACUCUAGUUUUGAUAUGUAUGUGUCAGCAGACAUGACAGCUUGUCCAUGGAAGUUGAACCACGACGACCAUCACGUUUCUUGUUUCUACCACUGCCACACCCGCACGCGAUUCCCACGACGCUGCUCCAGCCCACGGCACGACGUCCUCCGACGUGGAGAUGGAUCCUCUGACGUGGCUAUCAAUGCCUUGCCCUGCCUUUCCUUCGCUGACAGGUGGGACCCACACUUAUGGGUCACACAUGUCAGUGAAAGAAUGGUAGGAUUGUUCGCGUCAGGGGAUCCUCAUCCCCCCGAUGUGCCCCUCGUUCCUCUCGGCCCCACCGCUCCUCUGCCUUUGUGUGCAUGACAUGCGAGCCAACUAAACUACGGUGAGCAUCAACUUUCUACCACAGACACACCUGAUUGGACAUGGUUUGCCUGCUCCGAUGUUGUGCUCCGAUACGUACUCCCGCACCAUCGAAUCCUCAGCUGGAGUACUUAUGUACUAUAGGUAGUACCAACCGGUGUGGCCAUCUACGCCUCGUAAUGCCCCGACACCCAGCUGUGGCACCCUCGCCACGGCCACGUCACCAUCGGCCGGUUCAUCUCAAACGAGUGAGUCGCGAACCACGCCACCACCAUGAGAAUGACAUGUGGGCCAGCCACAUUUAAGGUCCUCAUGUCAUUGACUCAUAGGCCGGGCACUAAGCCACUGAAGUUCGGUCCCGUGGGCCCCGAGAGGGAAAGGUAACUCCUGCGGCAGGCCUUGUGGUGCUCCCGCGGUACGAGCUCGUGCCAAAAUUGGAAUUUGUUUCUUACUACUACCAACUAGCACUAGUAAGGUACACGUGCAUUGCACGCAUGAGAUUCUGGUGGUUUGUGCAUUAUGCUUCUACAUGUGGAGUUUUCUGGAUUCUAACAUGUGGCAAAAUCUGGUGGAAUGUAAGGUUAGGCAAGUUUGAUUAACUUAGGUGAGUGUUUGGUUCAAGCCACACCUUAGGCAAGCCACACUAAGGCCCCACAUGACACACACACACACAAAAUGUGGCAAGAUUCCCUUAGGCUUGCCAACUUGUGGCUCUCAUUUUGAUGAACUAAUAACUUUGCCUAAGCUUAGUUGUGGCAAAGUUAGUCAUGAAUUAAGGGGCUGUUUGGUUCCUAGCCACACCUUGCCACACUUUUCCACACCUAACCUUAGGCAAGUUUGACCAAGUUAGGUAGGUGUUUGGUUCUAGCCACACCUAAGGCAAGGAUUUUUUUAUGAGCAGUGAGCCCCACAUGUCAUAGACAUAAACAGUGUGGCAAGAUUCCCUUAGGCAAGCCAAAGUGUGGCUAACAAUUUGAGCAACUCAACUAAGACAAGUGUGGAAAAAAUCAUGUGGCAAUAUAUGGCAAAGAUAGUCACAAUCCAAACAACCCCUAAGUUCAACCAUGGAGUCUUCUAGAUUAUACAUGUGGCAGAGUCUGGUGGAUGAUAUCCAACGGCCAGUAGUGCUCGGAUUUGCCAUCUUUGUACCGUCGGAUUGGCUUCAUCCAACGACCAACUUUCAAAGUUUUUCACACACUAUAUAGGGGGUAUAGACAUAGAUGUGCCGGUCCGUUGCAAUGGAUCCAAAGUAUAUCUAUUUAGUGGAGUGCACUCUAAACACAUUAUCUAUUUAUUUUUCUCUAACCUUUUGUAGGCAUGCAACCAAGCCACAUAAGCUUCAUGGGUGCCCCCCACAUCAUAUUAUUCAUACUACGUUGAUUGAAAAAAAGAUAAAUCACCCAAAACAAGAUCUUCCCGUUUUUUGUCCCUACGAUGUUGUGCCUGCAUGUACCUACUAGUUGUAUAGUGGUAGUACUAGUAAUAUAGUUAGGAGUACAAACUUGGUACAAGUAGGAGUAGUACUAGUACGGAAUGCUCCUACUCUAUCAACGAGCCCCAUCUGACACCAAAUUUCUUGGCUUCUGUGCUACAACUAGAUCUUCCCCUCGUUUCUGUUUUCCAACCCGGCAGCGGGCGGGGUGUUGGUUUUCUCAAUGGCGGUCCCACAUGAAAGUGAAAAUGCUAGGCAACACGCCUUCCCUAAGCUAUGUGUCGUGCCGGACGGGCCGUGGAGUACUCCCGAUUCCCGGGCGUGUGGGGGUGCGAUGCGAACGCGGGAGGCCUUUUCCUUUUACUAGCAAUGUGCCCGUGCGUUGCGACGGAUCCAAAGUAGUAGAAUAGUAGUAUUUGUUCACAAACUUGAAAGAAAGCACUAUUGUUUAGAUAUACUCCUAAUAUAUUACUCCCCCUGUACCUAAAUAUUUGUCUUUUUUGAGAUUUCAAAUGGACUAUCACAUACGGAUUAUAUAGACAUAUUCUAGUGUGUCUAGCAAGAUGCCCGCGCAUUGCACGAAGUUGAUGGAAAAGGUAAGCACAACUUAUAAAUUGACGGAUGGAGUACUAGUUACAGUGAUGCAUAUAAUUAAGCAAAGGGAUUGCACAUGUCGGUAUUGUCUGGAACGAGAAUGCAAUAACACAAUAAGAAUUAAGUCCACGAUGAUGUGAUCGCAGUGGUGGUUACAUAAGGCAAGAAGAAAGAUGGAUCCAUGAACGUACGACCUACUCCUCGUCAACUUAGUGUGCUGGGCCACCGACCGGCGGCUAAGGAGCGGCGGCUUUUGUGGCGAGGUCGAGGUGCUUCUCAUCAAAGGCAUCCAAGGCUUCCAGCCGGUUGAGGAAGGCCAACAUCAUAGCGUCCUCACUGGCCUUGUAGAUACCUAUGUUGAUGAGGACAUCAAUACCAUUGUUACACCGACAGCCCUGCUGCCAUACAUACUGGACCAAUUACUAGAGCUCGCGCACGCCAACUAAAUUACCAAGUACUUUCAUUUCUUGGUAAUGAUUCUAAUGUUCAUGAGAAUAUGAUGCUGCCUAAAUUGGAUACAUUUGUUUUGCUUACAAAUGCAGGGCCUCUCGGAGUUGGUUUAGUGAUUGCUAAGGCGCGACGUCCUCGCACGUUCAUAGUCGGAUCGUCAAAGUCGACUUCCACCAAAGCGAAAUCCAUCCUCUCAUCGAAAGACGGGACACCUUUGCCUCUAUCAUAUGUACACGAUUUGCUCGUACACGUGGAUGUGUAGGUCGACGAAUUCUUGCAGGGCGAGGCGCCUCGUGGCGAGCGCGACCUCCAGGUGGACAUUCUUCGUGGCGUCGGCGGGUAGUCGCAGGGCCACCAGUGCUUGAAAGAGGUUCCGGCCAUGGUGGACGAUUAGGGUGGCAGGCAAUGAGGACCCGGGCGCGCGGGCUGGAGGAGUACGGCGAUGUCGUCCGCGAGCUUCUUGAGGACGGUGAACUUGUUGCUGGUGGCAACGAUCAUCUGGUCCAACUAAGAGUCGUAGUUGGCGUCGACGGCGGCCAUCCACCAGCCGGUCUGCAACACCGUUUGGAGACGAUCCUCGGCACCAUGCCGCAGGCCGGCGUUGUGGACCAUCUGGCGCAGCCGCUGGCCGCUCACACGCAUCGCCGCCAUGGGUCUGGAGUGAGCUCUUUUGUGCUUAGUGUAGGUGCCUAGGCAAAUGCUUAGGUGCGUACGAUGUGGUAGAUGCAUUGGAAUGGGGGGGCGCCUUUAUAUGAGGGCAAUGAGGGCAAACUCCAUUGCAUUCACAUCGUGCAGUCUCUUUUCCCGGACCUCCUCCCAUUACUUCCCUCAUGCAUUAAUUGAAGGAGGAUGCAUUGGCCGUUCAACAUAUCGGGAACGGCUACUCCCUCCCUCGUCUGCAUUAAAGUCGUAUCAGGAACUGCGUCGCCCACUGUCAAAUCGAAUACUCCCUCCGUCUAGGUGAGUAUUAAGUCAUCUUACGAAAACCAAAUAGUAAACACAUAGGCGUGGUGCAUUAACUCUCACGUUGUUUCUUAUUUUUUGACAUAAAUAGAGGAAUCAACCAAUAAGAGAUGUGGGGCUUGUAUGCUUUUAAUGACUUGAGACUAUCAAACAUGACGUGCAGUGUUCAGUUCGUUGCACAAGAACAAAUACAACCCACGUCAGCACACACGCAUCUUAUAGCAUCACAUCCAAUGGCUAUAAAAGAUGAAUGAGACCAAAUUAUAUCUCAUCUAGAUGAGUUCUAGCAAAACUGUAUUAAUAAUACUUAGUACUCCUGCGCCAUGUAUCAUAUAUUACUAUGUGUAGUACUUUAUUUAUUGCCAUGUAUGACAUAUAGUACUCAACUCUCUCUCUCUCUUUCUUCAUUUAAUUCUAUGACACCUCAUCAAAAUUGCUAAGGCUAGUACCAUUACAACCAGCCUUAGCAAAUACUCCCUAAACAUUAAGUUCUCUCGUUUUCCUCUCCUCCUUGGGAGUAUACUGCGCAGGCUUUUCCUGCGCGGUAGGAGGCGGGGCAGUUCCGCCUAGUCGGUUCGACAGAGACGCGAGAAGACAAGGGAGUAGGCUGCUGCAAACGUCGGGCUGUGUGAUUUGACAUCGAGUUACUGCUGGACAGGUGGGGCCCCGUGAUUUGAUUUGCCAUUAUCAUUUUAACUGCGGCGCUACGACCGGCGUGAGUCUCCCGAUUCCUGACCACCUCCAUACAGGUGCCUCUCCCAAUGCUCCACCAUGUAGACUGUAGUAGAGGCUGGCUCUUGCAUGAGAGCCCACUUCUCCACUUUUUCCUUGCCUCUCUUUCCUCUACAUAUGCAAAAAUGCCAUGUAAAGCGCACUAUUGUACUUAGGUUGGUCGUAAUGGAGAGUAUCAUAUACUAGUAUCAUGCAUAUGAUACUUUUGUAUGAUACUACAUCCGUAAUGCAUAGUAUCAUGUGUUGGUGUCAUAGGAUAGUUUAUUUAUUGUCAUGCAUGACACAUAGUAGCACAUCAUUUAAUAUGAUACUACAGUAUCAUAUUAUGAUACUCAACUCUCUCUUUUCUUCAUUUAAUUCGACGUCACCUCAUCAAGAUUGCAUAGUUGGCAUGCAUGAUACUACUCCCAUUACAAGCAGCCUUACUGCUCCUACAGGUGCUAAGCUUGCCACAUAGGCAUAAAGUAUGAUGUGGCAAGUUAAUCAAGAAGAGAGAGACUAGUUUGGUGACCCAAGGAAGAAACGGUGCUAAGCGCGUGUACCUAGGUGAAAAGGCAAUUUAGAGUCUAUAGCUAAUUAAAUGAAGCAAACUUAGCAACACCAUUUCAUUGGAAGAGGUCACUCCUUGGCAAAUGCAAUAAAUACUAGUACUCCCUGUGUCCUAGUGUCAAAAACGUUCCUUAUAUUAUGGGACGGAGGGGGUACCAAGAAAGAGAUAGAGAGGAGUAAAAAAAAUACACUUAUAGCCAACCUUAUAGCUAACCUUGUUGUAGUAUGAGUGACUAAGUGAUGACUAUGUAUGACAUGCCAACAUCAGAUAGCCUAACGCACCAUAUUAAAUCUCCAAGGGCGCGACCGCGCGAGUGACGCGACGGUCAUGGUAGGCGCGACCAUGAUACGGGCUGCUGGUAGCCCUUGGAUUUGAGAUCAAACGGUCGCAUGCUAAGUUGCUGAAAAUUUGCAGAAUAACCCUCCAGGAUAGGAUAUUCACCCAUAGGUCUAGAAUCAUGCCAUGCAACCGUUCGAUCUCAGAUCCAAGGGCUCUCGGAAGCCCGUAUCAUGGGAGAAUGGAAAGCCACUACCCUGCCGUUCGCACACUGGUAGUUCGCUCCUACUUGUCCCCGCACGUCCUUCAAUACUACGGCGGUUCGCUCCUAGUCGUCCCGUCCAUUCACAUUACGGCAGUUCCACUAAUCCUAACCCUCCUCCCAAAUCCAUGGCGUCCCAAAUCUCCACGAUUGGCGGUGAGUACAAGGUUAGAACCAUCACCGGCGAUGAGUCCGACGUCAUCUACACCCGUUCUUCUGCGACACUAAAAGGAUGCCUUUCUUGCUUCAGACACAUAUUCGAAGACUCAGAUGAUGAGCGGGUCGCUGGGCUAGAUAUUGAGUACACCAUAGUCCUGGGACGAGAGAAGGAUCUAAAGGACGAAGAGAGGAAGAAGCCCGCUGUGAUCCAGGUUUGCGUGCAUGACUUAUGCUUGGUCCACCACAUAUGCCAUGCCGACGUUGAAUGUCUGGAUUUUAAGGACUUCCUCGAGAGCAACCUAGUCAAAUUCGUUACUGUAGACUUUGGUAACGACAAAGAAGUCCUGGGUCGGAUAGGCCUUGUUGUAGGCAACACCUUCGACCUCCAGAAUAAUCGGUUGGUGUCCUCUUGACAGCCUUCAAUGCUGACCCUGGUAGGAGCCAUGGUUCAUCCUUCAUACAGUAAACUGGAGAAACCUCCAUACACGUUUCAUCGUUAUGCAUGGCAGCGGAAUGUACUAGAUAUAGACCACAUCCACUACGCUGCAAUGGAUGGCUACCUUUGUUUCAAUAUCUACAAGGGUUGGAUGAAGAGCAAGAGCCAAGUGUGCAGUUCAAGCAAAGAAGUAUCAGCCAAGAGGAAGAGGGACAAGGACGAAGUCGAGGACGUGGACGAGGACUCCGAGUAAGGUGGCAGUGUCAUUGCUCAUGGUGGUUCUAAUGCAGUGUCUCCGGAAUAGUUGCAAAGUUUAAUUUCAGGUGUGUUUAAUUUAAUUUGAGGGGUGUGUUGUGCUGAGCCCCCAGCAGAACUAUGUUAUGUUUCUUCUCAUUACUUUAACUCUUCAGUACGUACAUACUACUAUUUCUUACAUUUGAUCUUUUAGUUGGUAUAGUACUACCAUUCAUUUCUUCACAUUAUAUACGUACAAUAUAUAUGGCCAACAUCAUAUAGCCAGCAGUUCAGUUCUCAAAGAAUUUCAGGGUGCUUAGUUUUGUCAAAGAAUUCCAGGAUGCUUAGUUUUAUUUGAGGGGUGGGUUGUGCUGGACACCAUUAUUGUGACUAGACUUUUUAAUAGUACUAUAUGCAUAAUUUGGCGACGAGCGCUCUCUAUAUGUACCACCUUAUUUUAGUUUCAAGUUUUGCUCCAUGGCGCAAUCCAUCGAUACUACUGUUGUACAAAAGUAUACAUUUUUUAAAAGGCUAGAGGGCGGGGCAGUCUAGCUCGGUCGGUUUCACGAGUGUAGGACCUUGAAGUAUGUCUAGAGGGGAGGUGAUUAGACUACUUGACCAAUAAAAAAACUUAACCUUUUCCCAAUUUUAGUCUUUGGCAGAUUUUAGCUAUCUUAGUACAAGUCAAGCAAUCUUCACACAAUUCAAGCAAGCAUGCAAAGAGUAUAUGAGCAGUGGAAAGUAAAGCAUGCAACUUGCAAGAAUGUAAACGGAAGGGUUUGGAGAUUUCAAACGCAAUUUGGAGACACGGUGAUUUUUGAGCCGUGGUUCCGAUAGGUGGUGUUAUCGUACAUCCACGUUGAUGGAGACUUCAACCCACGAAGGGUAACGGUUGCUCGAGUCCACGGAGGGCUCCAUCCACAAAGGGUCCACGAAGAAGCAACCUUGUCUAUCCCACCAUGGUCGUCGCCCACGAAGUACUUGCCUCACUAGCGGUAGAUCUUCACGAAGUAGGCGAUCUCCUUGCCCUUACAAACUCCUUGGUUCAACUCCACAAUCUUGUCGGAGGCUCCCAAGUGACACCUAGCCAAUCUAGGAGACACCACUCUCCAAGAAGUAACAAAUGGUGUGUUGAUGAUGAACUCCUUGCUCUUGUGCUUCAAAUGAUAGUCUCCCCAACACUCAACUCUCUCUCACAGGAUUUGGAUCUGGUGCAAAGAAGAUUUCAGUGGAAAGCAACUUGGGGAAGGCUAGAGAUCAAGAUUCAUAUGGUAGGAAUGGAAUAUCUUGGCCUCAACACAUGAGUGGGUAGUUCUCUCUCAGAAAUGGUAAGUUGGAAGUGUAGGUUUGUUCUGAUGGCUCUCUCCACGAAUGAAGAGGAGGUGGAGGGGUAUAUAUAGCCUCCACACAAAAUCUAACCGUUACACACAAUUUACCAAUCUCGAUGGGACCGAAUCAACAAACUCGGUCAGACCGAUUCAGUAAACCUAGUGACAGUUAGUGAUUUUGGUGGGACCACCAUGCAACUCGGUAGGACCGAUAUGGUUAGGGUUAGGGCAUAACGUAAUCUCGGUGAGACCGAUUACACAAACUCGGUGAGACCAAUUUUGAUAAUAAGCUAACCAGAGAGUUGGUCAGGUAAACUCGGUGGGACUGAUUCGCUCUUUUCGGUGAGACCGAAAUGUUACGAAAGGGAAACAUAGAGUUUACAUUACAAUCACGGUGGGACCGAUCGAUCACUUAGGUUAGACCAAAACAUUACGAAGGGAAACAGAGAGAUUAUAAUCCCAUCUCAGUGAGACCGAGAUCCCUAUCGGCGAGACCGAUUUGCCUAGGGUUUUUGGCAGUGGCUAUGACAUCUGAACUCCGUGGCGCUGGAUAGAAAGAAUCGGUGGGGCCGAGUUUGACUUUAGGUUUAGGUCAUAUCUGGAUAUGAGAAAGUAGUUGAGGGUUUUUGGAGCAUAUCACUAAGCACCGUGGAGCAAGAAAAUCAUUAAGCAACACCUCAUCCCUCCUUGAUAGUAUUGGCUUUUCCUAUAGACUCAAUGUGAUCUUGGAUCACUAAAAUGUAAAAUGUAGAGUCUUGAGCUUUUGAGCUUGAGCCAAUCCUUUUAUCCUUAGUAUUUUGAGGGAUCCACUUUCCUCAUCCAUGCCAUGCCAUUCAUUGAGCUUUUCCUGAAAUAUUUGUCUUGGAAUAUUAUUAGCUCAAUGAGCUAUAUGUAGUUAGGAAUUACCAAAACCACCUAGGGAUAGUUGCACUUUCAAUCUCCCCCUUUUUGGUAAUUGAUGACAACAUAUAUAUCAAAGCUUCGACAAAUGAUAAUAAGAUUGAAAAAACAUCGUCGCUUUGAGAAGUAUGUGAUAAGCAAGAGCUCCCUUGUGCAUAGUUUAAGAUUUGCUUUGGACUGCAAAUGCACAAGGAGUUAGGCUCAUGGGUUACUCUUCCAUGUCAUAUACAUCUUAGUGGAGUGCUCAAAAUAAUAAAGAUUGAAUACAUGCACUCAUCACCAAGCAAAGUGAAUGAUCAUAUAAAGAUAAAUGAGAUAUUGUCAUCUAAUAAGCAUUAUGAUAGCAUACGAUCAAACACAUGAUCAUCAUUGUAUCACACAGACAAUAACGUAGUAUCUCAAGCAAGCAAAAGCAAAUAAAGUAAAGUUCAACCAUGAAGACAAGAGAGAACAAAAACAAACUCUCUCUCUCUCUCGAAGCCUAUGAUCUAUACAUUUUCUCCCCCUUUGGCAACAAGUUACCAAAAAGUUCCUAGAAAAUGCAUAGUACUGUUUCGUCUCUCAGGCUUGAUCUUCAGGUGGUGGUGUAGAGAUGGCUCCUUGGACGAAGACUUCAGUUGAUGUGGAUGGAGCUGGAGGAGUUGGUGUUGGAGCUGGUUGCACUGGAGCUAUAGCUGGUGCAGAUGAAGUGGCUCUGGUGUCUGUCACUAGCUCUGCAACUGAUCUCUGAGCUCGAGACACUCUGGCAAAUGCAUCAGUGGUUGUCCUGCCCUUCCUCUCCUGCAUAUCAUCCUGAAGCUGCUCCACAACAGACUGGAUCUCAGUUACUUUCACAUCUAGGUCAUAGAACUUUUGUUCCAUGAUUCUUUCCAGGAUCUCCUGGUUUUGAGUUAGGGUGGCCAACCCUUUCUCAAUCCUCAGAUUUGAUGCUAUUAAGUAACCAAGUUGGUCCUGCUUGCUCUUCAAAAAGUACUCACAUGCCUCCUCUAAAGUUGGCAUCUUGGCAGCCUUCUCCUUCUGUGCCUUCUCCUUCUUCUCUUGUGCUUGCACUGAAGAUGGUCCAUUCUCAUUCAUGACUACUUGGUUGUCCUCAAAGUCCGGGUAGAUAGCAAAGUGUUCCUUAUCCAACAAGUAUUUGCCUGUGCCCAUCUUGGAGUUGAUCAGCUCCUGGAUUUGUGGGGCAUACCCACAGCUUCUCUUCUGGUCUGCUGUUGUCCUCUUGAUAGUCUCAACUAUGAGGAUCAUGACCUUGAAUUUCUGUGGCACAUCAAAUAUGUGUAGCAAAUUUAUUGCAUGCCCUCUGAUCAUGUUAUGGUCACCUGACUUGGGCAAUAGAGUGUGCCUUAGGAUCCAGUUGAUCGUUGGCAGCCCUGACAGUAGAAAAUGGACAGACCCAAACUUGAAAGUCUCAAGUGCUUUGUCUGGGAUCUCCUUGUACAUGUGUGACAUAGAGUUGUGAUCCUUCUUCUUCUUGGAGUAGACAUCCAAGUCAUCUUCACUCUCCUCUGGUGCAUUGAUCAGUUCAGCACAUUCUUCAAUUGUGGAUUGGUACCUUGUACCUUCAGACAUCCAGACUAUUCUGCCAUCAGGAUAAAAGUGAGUUGUGGAGUAGAAUUGCAUUACAAGCUCAUCAUUCCAGUUUGUGAACUUAUGUCCAACACACUCAUCAACUCCACAAGCCUUAAAGCUGUCAAACACUCCUGGGUAGUGAUGCUCAUUUGCCUUCAUGUAUUUCCAGUCUACCCACCUCAUGUCACAAACUAUGGGCUUCUUGUCCAACAGCACAGUUUCAUAGAAAUCCUGAUGUUCCUUAGUGUGGAACCUAUAAUCAACAGCAGUCCUCCUCCUGAUUGCAUAAGGAUCAGACAAUCUCCACUGCCCGAGCCCUGCAUCCUUCCUCAGCUUCAUGUUCUCAGCCACUGGAUGAGCAUCAUUGUGGUUUGUAAUCUUGGGUUUCAGCUUCCUUAGAACUUGUCCUUCAUCUACUUCCUUAGCAGCAACUUCAGGCACUGGGGCCUUGUUCUUCUCAGCAGUUGGUAUACUCCUGGUAUUCCUCUUAGGUGCAGACUUGGCCUUGGAGGCAGCUUUGGGUGCUUCUUUGGGCUUUGAUGUUGCAUCCCCUGACCUUAUAGCAUCACCCAUAAGCUUUUGUGCCUUGGGUGCUGGAGCAGCAACCUCUUCUUCCUCUUCCUCUUCCAUCAUGGAAGGCUGUCCAACAACUCUGGCCAUGGUCUUUUUGACCCUUUCCUUCCUCUUCUUCCUUUCUGCAGCAGCCUCUUUGGGAUUAGGUUUCUCAGGUUCUUGAGUUGAUCCUCUGACUUUCAGCAUAGGUGUCCUCUUGGCUGGGACCUUCCUGUUUAGUCCAGGCUUUGUGGUCUUAGCUGAGCCAUACUCCUUUUUGAGCACUAUCUUCUUGGAAGUAGCCUCAUCUUUAGCUGCCACAUAGUCUUCAUCCUCAGAGUCUUAGUUUCUCUUCCUUCUGGCCCUUGUGGCUGCUUUGGGCAAAUUGCUUGGAGUGCUCCUGCUGCCCUCAUCUAAGGAACUAGAGGGACUAGUGCCCUCACUCAUGUGAAUCUGCUCCUCUUCCCUGUUCUGGCUGUCACUUUGGUCUGACAUACUGCAAACACUGACUGCUGACCCUGUGAAUAGUUAUAGAUGAGAUAGAAUGGAUGAGUAUCACAAAAUGCAGAGGUUUUUGCAAAAGAAUGAUUCAAAAACUUAGUUUUAGUUUUCCACAGAAAGCAUUUCGGAUCAACCGAUUUGCAAACUCGGAGAUACCGAAGCGGCUUUUGGAACCUAAACUAGUGAUCUCGGUUAGACCGAGUCACAGUUCGGUGGCACCGAGACUGCUAGGGUUUCACAGAGUUCUAAAAUCGGUCACACCGAUUUGCAAUUCACGGUCAGACCGAGAAUCACUUGUGCAAUGGCCUUGGCCGAAUCGGUGGAACCGAGUUUUUUCAACUCGGUGGGUCCGAGAUGGUUUCGGCGGAAACCUAACCCUAAAUUUUCAAUUCACAUCUAAUCUAAGGAUUGUUUUGACUGGAUAGAAGCAUUUCAAUCGUGGCAAGAAUCAUAAUGAACACAAUGUGCUAGGAAUUGGACGGGGAUAGCACUGUGAUCGAGUCCAUACCCUAGUUUGGCGAUGAACUUGCUACGACAGCAACGGCGGGGUUGAAUUCCGUCGACAGCGGCGGAGACCAGCGACUGGAGGCGGCUGGCGACGAAGUCAAUGAUCCGGAGACCUUGGAGGCAGAGCGAGCUAUGCACGGGCGAAGGGGUUUGGAGAAGUUUCCAAAUUUUUGCCCGUGUGUAUAUAUAGCCCGACCUUGUCGGUGUGACCGAGUGGAACAACUUGGUGGCAUCGAGAUGCGUAACUGUUGACAGUUGCAGCAACUCAGUGAGACAGAAAAGUUCAAAUCGAUUGCACCGAGACUGAAAACCUAGAUCGACUUAGUGAUCUCGGUAUGACCGAAAUGGAGGAAUCAUUCAGACCGAAACACACAAAGAAGUUUUUUAAGUUUAAGUCUAUGACGAAUCGGGGACUCCGAGUGCUCCUCACACAGAGUGGUUCAAAUCUGACUUGAUCAAAUUUUGUGAUGUAGCAUGAAUAGAGUUUGAGACAAGAAAAGCAUAGAUAGCUGGAGAAGGUUCUUAGGCAUUCUUGUUCAUCCACUUGGCAAAAGAAAAAGAAGGCAAUCAAUCAAAGCAACAAGUGGAUGUCCUCGAAUGAGUUAAAUAUGCAACCAACAUGCUCACACAAUAAAAUGGCAAAUGAAAAUGUGGCAAGGCAUGCACAACCAAUUCUAGCAUCUAUCAAAUAAUUGGCGAUGACUAGGUCAUCUAUAUAUGAGUAUAUUGACUUAGGAGUCAAAUGAGAACAUUUGAUCAUAGGUCAUACUCAUCGUUUAAGCUCAAGUGGGGUUACCACUUUUACAUAAUGCAUUAAUGUGUUCACAUCAUUAGAGUUGCUUUGACUCAAUUCUUAGAGUUAAGCUCCCCCUAGAUGUGACAUCCCCCCUUAGAGGGAUGAACUAACCUUGGGUUUUGUCGAUGAUGACUUCAUGUAGGUCUUGAAGAUGUGGAUGCUCAAUGUUGAUGAAGAUCAUUUGGAGCAAUCCUUUGGAGUGAGUUGCACUUUCAAUACCUACACGGGUUAGUCCCACAAGGAACAAAGAAGUAUAUCCAUAGACAUAGAGUGAUGCACACACAAGAUGAUGUCCAUGAAAGCAUUAGGUAACCUUGUCCCUUGUCUUACCAACAUGAGGGCUUGUGACUCCUUGAACUAGUGCAAGAUGUGGAAGUUGAUUGCACUUGUCCUUGCCAUAAUGAUAUGAGUGAAGAAUGUUGGUGGAGUCACCCUCAAGAACUCUCUAGUUCUUCUUCUUCGGGAUCCACAUCAUCUUGAUGGGAAUCCUUGGAGUUGUAGUCGUGCUUGAUGAAGUAGAACUUGACUUUGUCUUGGGAACCCACUUGACAAAGGCCUUAGGAGCUUCUUCAAAUCUCUUGAAGCUUGUCCUUGCCUUUGUGCUUGUGGUCUUGUGGUGGAAGAUCAUCUUGAGCUUGUGUCCCCUUGAAGGAAGUAGGAUCAUACUUCUCUUGUUGAGGAACAAACUUCGUCUUGGGGUAUUGAUCUUCUUCCCACUCAACUCCAUUGGCAUUGAACUUUCGUUCAAAACCAACACCUUGGUUCUCCGGGUGCCUUCCUUGCUUGCGUACAAUUUCCUCGAAUUGCUUACUCCCGGCAAGGCUCUUGUAUACACCUUUCUCUAUAAUUCCCUUCAAUAAGCUAUUUUCUUGCUCAAGUGUAACUUGGCUAAGAGAAUCAUUAGUGGAAUCAAGAGAACUACUAGAAGCAACAAUAUUGGAUUUAGCAUGAUUAUUGUUACUACUAGAGAAAGAAUCCUUCUUGUUUUUGUUACUAGACUUGAAUUGAGGCAUGUAAGUAGAUAAGAGUAAACGCUUGGCAAUGUAAGAAGAACUUUUCUUGCGAAGAUCAUCAUUGAUUGCUUUUAAGAACUCAUGCUCUUGCUCAAGAUUGAGCUUUUCAAAGCGUAACUUCUCAUGAGUCCUCAAAAGUUCUCGAUGAUUCCCUAAGAUAGUUUCAUGAGCUAACUUAAGAGUGUUUAGUUCUUUGGUAAGAAGCUCAAUCUUCUCCUUAUCAUUGUCAUUCGUUUUAUCUUGAUUAUCAUGAUUAAUAGACGUUUCAUCAUAGUAUUCAUCACUAGAGUUGUCAACAAGUAAAUCAUCAUCACAUAACAAGUCAUCUUCAUCACUAUUGAAAUCAACAUACUCGGGGUCUGUUACCUUAGGGCCUUUAGCCAUGAAGCAUCUCCCAAUUCCUUCAUUUGGUGAAUCAGAUAUGUCGUAGUAGUUGGUUGUCACAAGUGCUAGAUCGGCAACACCUUCAUCUUUAGUAUGUUCAGAGUCGGAGAGAUAGCUUCUCUCGGAGUGAUGUUCAGAGUCGGAACCGGAUACCCAUUCACCAAAUGAGCUUGAUGUCUUCAUUUUGUGUAGCUCUUUGAUGACUUGUCCUUCCUUUCUGAAUCCUUGCUUCUCCGGGAUGUUCUUCGUUCAUAACGAUCAUCUCUACUCCUUCUCUCUCUUGGCGGUGAUUCUUCUCUUCUACUUCUUCUCUUGGGAGAAUCUUCUCUUCUUUUGUAGGGUGUCGUACACUCAUUGGAAUAGUGUCCGGGUCUCCCACAAUUGUAGCAAUUGCGCUCUCGACUGGAAGAUCUUUUGUCAUUGUAGGACCUUGACUUGGAGCUUCUUUCUUUGCUUCUACUUUUGUAGAAUUUGUUGAAGUUCUUCACCAUUAAGCUCAAUUCUUCAUUGAAGGUUUGUUUCUCAUUUGAUGAUGUAGGAGCUUCACAUGAGGCUUUGUAAGCACCACUUGACUUGUUGUGAAGUUCCUCCUUAUCCUUGAGUGACAUCUCAUGAGCAACAAUUCUUCCAAUGACCUCCGUUGGCUUGAGAUUCUUGUAAUUAGGCAUCAUUUGGAUCAAUGUGCACACGGUAUCAUAUUUUCCAUCCAAUGCUCUUAGGAUCUUCUUGAUGAUGAAUUUGUUGGUCAUCUCUUCACUUCCUAAGCUAGCAAUCUCAUUUGUGAUAAGAGCAAGCCUAGAGUACAUUUCAGCGACACCUUCACCAUCCUUCAUUUUGAACUUGUCAAGUUGACUUUGGAGUACAUCCAAUUUGGAUUCCUUGACGGAGUCGGUACCUUCAUGCAUAUCAAUCAAAGUAUCCCAGAUUUCCUUUGCAUUCUCAAGACGGCUGAUUUUGUUGAAUUCUUCGGGGCACAAUCCGUUGAAGAGGAUAUCACAAGCUUGAGCGUUGUAUUGCAGCAUUUUCAAUUCAUCUGCACUAGCUUCACGGUUUGGUUCCCUCCCAUCAAAGAAUCACCUUGCAAGCCAUUACACACAAUAGCCCAAACGGCAGGGUUAUGUCCAAGAAUAUGCAUUUUCAUCUUAUGCUUCCAACUAGCAAAAUUAGUACCAUCAAAGUAAGGACCUCUACGGUGAUAAUUUCCCUCGCUAGAUGCCAUACUCUCCUAGGUUGUGAAACCAAGGCUAUGACCACCAAAAGCUAUGGAAAUCAAAGCAAAUGGAGACCAAAGCUCUGAUACCACUUGUAGGACCUUGAAGUACGUCUAGACGGGGGGUGAUUAGACUACUUGACCAAUAAAAAAACUUAACCUUUUCCCAAUUUUAGUCUUUGGCAGAUUUUAGCUAUCUUAGUACAAGUCAAGCAAUCUUCACACAAUUCAAGCAAGCAUGAAAAGAGUAUAUGAGCAGCGGAAAGUAGAGCAUGCAACUUGCUAGAAUGUAAGGGCAUGUACAAUGGUGCUAUCUUAGGAGUGCCAUGUAGGAUAAAUGAUGAGGUGGAGGAGAGAGAACUCAUAAGAAAAGGCUUGUCUUCUCUUAUUUAAGAUAAGACAAGAGAUGAUAUCUUAGCACAAUAUGUGUCACCACGUUUUUAGGAAUAACUAGUUAUGAAGAUAAGGCUAAGAAAUGACCCAUUGUAGACAUCUUUUUUUGUCAUCUCUUAAUUACAUGCAAGACUUAAGAUAAGACUAUUUUAUCAACCAUUGUACAUGCCCUAAAGGGAAGGGUUUGGAGAUUUCAAACACAAUUUGGAGACACGGUGAUUUUUGAGCCGUGGUUCCGAUAGGUGGUGCUAUCGUACAUCCACGUUGAUGGAGACUUCAACCCACGAAGGGUAACGGUUGCGCGAGUCCACGGAGGGCUCCACCCAUGAAGGGUCCACGAAGAAGCAACCUGUCUAUCCCACCAUGGUCAUCGCCCACGAAGGACUUGCCUCACUAGCGGUAGAUCUUCACGAAGUAGGCGAUCUCCUUGCCCUUACAAACUCCUUGGUUCAACUCCACAAUCUUGUCGGAGGCUCCCAAGUGACACCUAGCCAAUCUAGGAGACACCACUCUCCAAGAAGUAACAAAUGGUGUGUUGAUGAUGAACUCCUUGCUCUUGUGCUUCAAAUGAUAGUCUCCCCAACACUCAACUCUCUCUCACAGGAUUUGGAUCUGGUGGAAAGAAGAUUUGAGUGGAAAGCAACUUGGGGAAGGCUAGAGAUCAAGAUUCAUAAGGUAGGAAUGGAAUAUCUUGGCCUCAACACAUGAGUAGGUAGUUCUCCCUCAGAAAUGGUAAGUUUGAAGUGUAGGUUUCGUUUUGAUGGCUCUCUCCACGAAUGAAGAGGAGGUGGAGGGGUAUAUAUAGCCUCCACACAAAAUCUAACCGUUACACACAAUUUACCAAUCUCGGUGGGACCGAAUCAACAAACUCGGUCAGACCGAUUCAGUAAACCUAGUGACAGUUAGUGAUUUCGGUGGGACCGACAUGCAACUCGGUAGGACCGAUGUGGUUAAGGUUAGGGCAUAACGUAAUCUCGGUGAGACCGAUUACACAAACUCGGUGAGACCGAUUUUGGUAAUAAGCUAACCAGAGAGUUGGUCAGGUAAACUCGGUGGCACCGAUUCGCUCUUUUCAGUGAGACCGAAAAGUUAUGAAAGGGAAACAGAGAGUUUACAUUGCAAUCUCGGUGGGACCGAUCGCUCACUUCGGUUAGACUGAAACGUUAUGAAGGGAAACAGAGAGAUUAUAAUCCCAUCUCGGUGAGAUCGAGAUCCCUAUCGGUGAGACCGAUUUGCCUAGGGUUUGUGGUAGUGGCUAUGACAUCUGAACUCGGUGGCGCCGGAUAGAAAGAAUCGGUGGGGCUGAGUUUGACUUUAGGUUUAGGUCAUAUGUGGAUAUGAGAAAGUAGUUGAGGGUUUUUGGAGCAUAUCACUAAGCACUGCGGAGCAAGAAAAUCAUUAAGCAACACCUCAUCCCUCCUUGAUAGUAUUGGCUUUUCCUAUAGACUCAAUGUGAUCUUGGAUCACUAAAAUGUAAAAUGUAGAGUCUUGAGCUUUUGAGCUUGAGCCAAUCCUUUUAUCCUUAGUAUUUUGAGGGAUCCACUUUCCUCAUCCAUGCCAUGCCAUUCAUUGAGCUUUUCCUGAAAUAUUUGUCUUGGAAUAGUAUUAGCCCAAUGAGCUAUAUGUUGUUAAGAAUUACCAAAAUGACCUAGGGAUAGUUGCACUUUCAAUGAGAGGCGAGGGCCUUUGUGAUUUGACGGCUCAUUACUGCUGUCAAAUCAAAUAGUACAGCGCCGCCCGCUGCACGCCUGUCGCCUCCUUUAAACCGAGAAUCCUACUCCGGCCACACGUCCGUUCAUGAGCGGGCCGGAAUUAUAUGCAACACCGGCGUCCCAUCCGCCCUCAGUUUAAACGAGGCCAAAUGCCGGCCAACCUCCUACUUUUCGCCCUCUAUGUACACAAGGCCAGACAAACAGCGGGCAAGCAUCGCACCCUUCCGCUGCUCCCCCAUCUCCUCCUUCACCAUUUUCUCCACUCUUCCGAUGGCUUCCGAUGAGCCGUUCUCCGGCAUAUUACCUGGCUGGGUGCCCCUCCGAGCCCUCCGGAUACGGGCGAGGCCGCUCGGUGCUUCACUAACCUCGCUUGGCCCGACGGAGCCAGUUGCCGCCCCAAGUAGGUGCGUGGUUCAGCAACUCGCCGCUCCAGUUCAGCUCGAUGAGGAGUGGCGAGUUGCUCCACGCCGGCACGGCGGCGAGCAUGCCGGUACGGGCGCCGUCGCUGCCGCGUCGUACCGCGCCACCAGUGUCUGCGGUGGUCGCGCCUCCCGUGUCUGUGGGCGCGCCUCCCAUGCCUGCGGCAGCGCCAUGCAGGAAGAGACAGAAGCCGGGUGCGAGGAGAGUGACGAGUCAGUGGCCAGCUUCUCCGUGUCCGCCGCCAUCAUCGAGGAGAAGUAGAACACGGGAGGCCGCCGCCACUUGGGACCCAUGAAGGCCACCGCCGAGGCGACGACCGCGGAUUCAGGUGGUUUCUUUGCUGCUUCGUCUCUUCCGAGGACCUUCGUCGACCCCGCAAGUGUCUGACGGACAUGAGAAAGACAAAGGGAUCCGCGGGCGGCCAUUUAGAACUAAAAUAAGUCUAGAUACAUCCAUUUCUAGGACAAGUAUUUCCGGAUUGAGGGAGUAUUAAUUAUACAAGAGAGACGGAUUGGCACCUCUUAGUUCGUGUAAAUGUAAUGAAAUCCAUCAUGUUUAUAUGAAGAUCCAGCUUUUUAUACGAAAUCCUUCAUGCUUAUAUGAAAUCAGUCCGUGUUUGCACGAAUUUCAUAUGGUUGGUUAGAGUUGUAAAAAUGUAUGCCGCUGGCGUUUGAUGUCAUCCUCCGUGGAAGGAAGCGGGAGGAAAUUUGUCGGCUGCCGUUGGAGAUGCUCUUUAUGCUGGAAAUAAUAGAGCGACAUCCAAUCCAUUUGAGUUAAUUGCCUGUAUGAUUGUCCCUCUAUAAAAAGUUCAUUGCAUGUAUAGUGUACACGUGACUUGCAGGGUGGCUACAGCUUCGUACAGAAAGUUAAAAAGAAACAAGUCCAUCCUUAAUCUUGUAUUCUAAGUACUCUGUGGGUUCCACUGUCAGUACAGUAGAGAAAGAAGUAUAUAUUAAAUAAGUAGAGUAAUAUAUAAUAUAAAAAUCUAAAGUUAAAAUACAGAAUUCGAACUCAUGUCAUCGUGUUGCGAGCAUCCGACGCUAACCAGCCCAGGAUAUUUUUGUUGUAGACCAUGCUGGAGAUAUAUCUCCAUGUAUACUCUUAUAUAUACUCCAUUCGUUCCUAAAUAUUUGUCUUUUUCAGAUUUCAAAUGGACUACCACAUACGGAUGUGUAUGUAGACAUAUUUUAGAGUGUAGAUUCACUCAUUUUGCUCCGUAUGUCUUUUCGGGAAGGGGUCAGAUUUGUCCUUGAUUUAUUUAUGAGGUAUCCAGAUGGCACUGCACCGCCAAGAAAAGAGGGUAACAUCAAAAUUAUGGACUACUUUUUCGAGUAUGUUGGUAAGGUCCGGUCAUAGUCACUUGCUGAAAUCUCUAAAAAGACAAAUACUCCCUCCGUCCGGAAAUACUUGUCAUCAAAAUGGAUAAAAGGAAAUGUAUCUAGACAUAUUUUAGUUUUAGAUACAUCUCUUUUUAUCCAUUUUGAUGACAAGUAUUUUCGGACGGAGGGAGUAGGAAAGAGAGUUGGUGAUGAUGUUGUGCAUUCCAUCCUGCAAUAUAGGCCGUCGAAUUUAUAUCUAACGGAUAGGAAAGAAACUAUGGCAAUUUUGCAAAUACCCACACAUCUCUCCACGUUCGCAAAUAAGGCCUUCCCUCGUUCAGCAUUUUCUCUCACAAGAUAAACUACUCAUACAAAUGCAUCUUGAUGUUCCGUGCAAUGCACGGGUAGCUAGCUAAUUUCUUUUAAAAUAGUUGCUGCGAUAAUUCGGUUGAAGUGAUAUAUUUUAUGUCUACCCCGAAUGAUUUCAGAUUCACUAGUAGUAACAAAGAAAAGGUUGCCUUGUUAAUUAACAGAAAACAGGGUGAAAACUAUCACAUGAGGCCGGUAAAAACAAGGUACACUGGGUUCAGCGUCAUCGUCACUAUAGAUGUGCGCGCGCGAGAAGUCUACAUAUCGAGGGGGCUACCGAGCGAGGCACCGAGACACAAUGUUUGAGAGAGAAACCAAUUGACAGAUUAUGAUCAGAUCGAGUUGUCACCCUUCUGCUGUCAUUGUUGGGGGGGAGAAAGAUGUAUCGAGAGUGUGCACGGUAGGCACAGAGGCACAACUAGAGUGUGUGUGUGUGUGUGUGUGUGUGUGUGUGUUUGAAAGAGGAGUAGAUAGAUUAUUAUCAAGAUCGAUGUGCCACCCUACUCCUUCGGUGCCGGGUAGUGUGUGUGUGUGUAUGUUUGAGAUAGAAGCCAAUCAAUAGAUUAGUAUCAAGAUCGAGGUGUCACCCUACUCCUUCGGUGUUGGGAAGUGUGGGUGUGUGUGUGUGGGGGGGGGGCAGUGACACUCUCAUAUCUCUACUCUUAUAAAAAAGCAGAGUUGGUGAUGAUGGUGUUCCUGCCAUCCUGCAAUAUAGGCCAUCCGAUUUAUAUCCGACGGAUAGGAAGGAAACUAUGGCAAUUUUGCAAAAAGAUACCCACACCCCUCUCCGCAUUUGCAAAUAAGGCAUUCCGUCGUUCAUCCUUUUGUUUCACAAGAUAAACUUCUCAUACAAAUGCAUCUUGAUGUUCCGUGCAACGCAUGGGCAUCUUGCUAGUAGGGAGAAGGAGUUUGUGUGACACAUAUCUAGCUAUAUUAAGGGAUAGGUAGAUAGCAUAUGUGUGAGAGACAUUAUUAUACUUUGAGACAUUAGUGGUUGUGGGUGGGCGGAAUUAAAGGGGUGGGCGUGUUAGACAUAGAGAGCGUGUGUGUUUCUGUGUGAGAGACUUGUAGGACGGGGUAGAAAGACGAAUUUAACCUUGACGAAGGGAGAGAAAUACACGAAGUGCGCGUGUGUGAUUCCGAUGCCCACAGGGAAAUGAGAUAUGUGUGCGUGUGAGAGAGAUUGCACAAUUCAUUCACGUAUCACUAUCUAGCGAUCGUGGACGUGCAUCGCUUGAACAUAAGUCAAUAUCUACUUCGUAUCGUGGCCAAUGGUACAAUAUUGAUUCAACGCUAUAAAUAUUGGACACUCACAUAUCACAUUUUUUUCUAUUUAAAUAAACCUUUUCAGUUGUGCAUGCCAAAGUUAUAGUGAUGUUUCUUCAAACAACCAAUGUAGCUAUCAUGUACAUGCACCAUUGUUACUCUUGCAUUCAAACUCAUUAGUCUUGGAUGAUUUAAGUUUCUAUUUUGAAGUAAUUUAUGUAAUAUUCAUAUAUGAAUUCAACGGGUACGCAAUUUAUGAAAUGGAGGCUAUGUAAUAAUAUGAGGUAACACUUUUAAGUAGCUGACUACAAUAUCCAUUUAUUUUUGUGCGCCUCUACACUAACACGUCAAUGCAUUAUGUUUAAAGUAAAUAACCAAUGGCACUAAAUUAUCUAUUUACACGAGAAAUACAUAGGCUGAGCGUUUGAUCCCUUUUUUGUGAACGCGCCACUACACCCGUACGAUUGGCCGCGCCCGUGUGAACGUCCAAGUUAUCGACGCAUCAUCUCGAGUUAUUCUCUUUUUUUCUGGUGUGGACUUCGCACGAGUUAUUAACUACUGACGCGUGCCCUGUGUACACAGUCUAGCAUGACCUUCCCGCUAGCACGGUCCAAAAUUAGUUGAAACCAGAUACGAACGAUCCCGCGGGAGGCAAAAUCUCCCGCCUCCUUCUAAAAUUUCCGCCACCUUAGUCUUUAGCAUGCGAAAUCCCCCUUUUGUCCUUGGUGCACGGAGACCAACAGUUACAAUACCGCCCUCACCUACAUGAUAGGUCGGGGCUGCUUUGGUAACUUCCGGUUCCCCCCACUACACGGCACCCCCAUUUCCUCUCCCCUCCCGCAAAAACGACUAACUCCAUGGCACCAGAGCAUCUUACAUCACGCCGUCCGUACUUCAUCGCCCUUUCUCCCCUCCCCUCUCGAAACCAUAGACUGCUCAUCCAUCGGCGUACCAUAGCCCAUUCACUGCCAGCGGCGUCCACCUCGUCGGAUCUGCUUCUGCAGCUGCAUCAACCCCUCCCACCUCCCCUAGAAACAAGUACACUGCUCAUCCAUCACUGUACCACAGUCCAUUCAGUGCCGACCUUGUCCACGGCGCCGGAUCUGCUUCGCCGGUACUCUCGUCAACCGCCGCGCAUCUGCAUCGGCUCAUUCGUACUCCCCACCGGAGACGCUUCGUCCACACCCCCCGGAGCCUCCCCACUGACGCCCUCAUCGACGGCCUCUGAUCCUCUUCGCCGAUGAUAACCCACAAGUAUAGGGGAUCGCAAUAGUUUUCGAGGGUAGAGUAUUCAACCCAAAUUUAUUGAUUCGACACAAGGGGAGCCAAAGAAUAUUCUCAAGUAUUAGCAGCUGAGUUGUCAAUUCAACCACACCUGGAAACUUAGUAUCUGCAGCAAAGUGUUUAGUAGGAAAUUAAUAUGAUAGUGGUAGUAACGGUAACAAAAGUAAAUACAGCAAAAGUAAUGUUUUUGGUAUUUUGUAGUGAUUGUAACAGUAACAACGAAAAAGUAAAUAAGCGAGAACUAGUAUAUGGAAAACUCGUAGGCACCGGAUCAGUGAUGGAUAAUUAUGCCGGGUGUGGUUCAUCAUGUAACAGUCAUAACAUAGGGUGACACAGAAUUAGCUCCAGUUCAUCAAUGCAAUGUAGGCAUGUAUUCCGAGUAUAGUCAUACGUGCUUAUGGGAAACAACUUGCAUGGCAUCUUUUGUCCUACCCUCUCGUGGCAGCGGGGUCCUAUUGAAAACUAAGGGAUAUUAAGGCCUCCUUUUAAUAGAGAAUCGGAACAAAGCAUUAGCACAUACUGAAUACAUGAACUCCUCAAACUAUGGUCAUCACCGGGAGUGGUUCCAAUUAUUGUCACUUCGGGGUUGCCGGAUCAUAACACAUUGUAGGUGACUAUAGACUUGCAAGAUAGGAUCAAGAACACACAUAUAUUCAUGAAAACAUAAUAGGUUCAGAUCUGAAAUCAUGGCACUCGGGCCCUAGAGACAAGCAUUAAGCAUAGCAAAGUCAUAACAACAUCAAUCUCAGAACAUAGUGGAUACUAGGGAUCAAACCCUAACAAAACUAACUCGAUUACAUGAUAAAUCUCAUCCAAUCCAUCACCGUCCAGCAAGCCUAGGAUGGAAUUACUCGCGCACGGCGGUGAGCAUCAUGAAAUUGGUGAUGGAGGAUGGUUGAUGAUGACGACGGCGACGAAUCCCCCUCUCCGGAGCCCUGAACGGACUCCAGAUCAGCCCUCCCGAGAGAGAUUAGGGCUUGGCGGCGGCUCCAUAUCGUAAAACGCGAUGAUUUCUUCUCUCUGAUUUUUUCUCCCCGAAAGCCAAUAUAUGGAGUUGGAGUUGGUGUCGGAGGGCCACCAGGGGGCCCACGAGGUAGGGGGCGCGCCCUAGGGGGGGGCGCCCCCCACCCUCAUGGACAGGGUGUGGCCCCCCUGGUCUUCAUCUUUGGCGAAGAUUUUUUAUUGUUUUUUCUAAGGUGUUCCGUGGAGUUUCAGGUCAUUCCGAGAACUUUUAUUUUCUGCACAUAAAACAGCAUCAUGGCAAUUCUGCUGAAAAAAGCGUCAGUCCGGGUUAGUUCCAUUCAAAUCAUACAAGUUAGAGUCCAAAACAAGGGCAAAAGUGUUUGGAAAAGUAGAUACGACGGAGAUGUAUCAACUCCCCCAAGCUUAAACCCUUGCUUGUCCUCAAGCAAUUCAGUUGACAGACUGAAAGAGAAAAAGAAAAACUUUUACAAACUAUGUUUGCUCUUGUUGUUGUAACAUGAAAAGCCAGCAUUCAAGUUUCGGCAAAUAUUAUGAAUUAACCAUACUAACAAUAACACAAAGGUCUCACAAUUACUCAUACCAAUAGCAUAAUCAGCUAGCGAGCCAUAAUAAUAAAUCUCGGAUGACAACACUUUCUCAAAAUAAUCAUAUCAUGAUAUAACGAAAUGGUAUCUCGCUAGCCCUUUCUGAGACCGUAAAACAUAAAUGCAGAGCACCUUCAAAGAUCAAGGACUGACUAAACAUUGUAAUUCAUGGUAAAAGAGAUCCAGUCAAGUCAUACCCAAUGUAAACCAAUUAUAAUGAAUGCAAACAAUAGUGUGCUCUCCAGCGGGUGCUUUUUAAUAAGAAGGGUGAUGACUCAACAUAAAAGUAAAUAGAUGGGUCUUUUACAUCUGUGUCCCUAACUCGAACCCACUACUCACAUUUGCCCCUAAUUCGAAAGCCUGCUCAAAAAUGCCCCUCCGUCAUCAUGUUCCCUUAUAGAAUUGCCCUUCCGUGCCGUUUCCGUCCAGUCAAGGCUGUUUGACUAGUAAGCGGCCGUUUCUUUGACAUUUUUGCCCCUUCGUCCUUACAACUGGGCCCAGGUCACCGGUUCACUCUCUCUCCAUCUCAUUAUCUCGCCCGAGCCACACCCUCUCUCUUUCUCCCCCAAAUCGCCUCCCCCCGUAACCCUAACCCUAGCUCGCUCGAUCCGAUCGAUCCCAACUCCUAAGGCUCGAUCUACUGAUGGCAGCCAUGGUGGAGCUUCGGAUUAGACUCUGUGUCGCUCUGCUACGGCGUGAAAGAGACACGAGCGACAGGAUGGAUGGGGACAGCAGUUGCGGCGGCGACGAACGAGGGAGCACACUGCAGCUACAGACGAAUGCUUCGGCGGGGUAAGUAUCUCUUGUAAUCUGAUGCAGUCUCAUGCCAUUUGUAGUUCGAUUUGUUCUUGUAGUUUAAUUUGUUGACCUAGUUCAUAGUGCUCAUGGCGUUGGGAUCUGUCUGUUUUCCAUGCUCAUCGUAGGAUGGACCCCGAUAGAGCAGUUGGGAUGGAUUGUAGAAUGGAAACCACACUUCUAGCUAGUGCUCGCACAAAAGCAUCCAACACAGGAUUCUCUUUUCCUUUUGUUGCUGACAAUCAAUGGACUUUCAAUCAGUUUAGAUCUGCCAUAGAUGCUAAAUAUCCAUGGGGUCUAUACGAUGCAGUGGAAUUCAGGUACUGGGACAUUGACAAAUCAGCAUGGGUCCCUGUCCAGUGUGAUGAUGAGCUUGGUAUCAUGUUUGUAAUACAUGAUUCUUUCCCUGCUAAACUAGAAAUCAGUGUCAUACAAAGGGAGAGAGGAGAGCCAGAGAGCGGAGGAACAAGAUCUCGGUCUAGGUCUACAGGUAAAGGUAGAACUAGCCAAUCAAGGGGCAAAAAAGCAACAACUCAUAGUGGAGGCAACAGUUCCAUGCAGGCACCAGGAACACCUACUGUAGAAGUUCCUAGGCAUGCAGCUCCCUCUCAUAAUAAAGAUUCAGGUGACCCAUACACUGAAGAGGGACUACCAGAUGAUUGGCCAAGUGAUGAUGAGGAUGAAAGGUUGUUUCCAUAGUUUGUAACGAGGAAGAAGGGCAAGGAGAAAGAUGAUGAGGGGGAAGAUUAUGUUCCACCCCCUGAAGGCAUGUUUGGUGAGGCAGGUGAAGAUGAGAAAGAGGAGGACAAUUACAUGGGGUACUCUGAAACAUCUGAUGAGGAAAGACCAGAUGUGCAAUACAAUAGAGAUGAUCCUUCUUUGAAAGAGGGAACAAUAUUUUCCAGUGCCAUAGACUGUAGAAAUGCCCUUGCAACCUUCUCAAUAAAGACUCAAAGUGAAUUUGUGAUAGACAAGAGUGACAGUAAUAGGUUGACAGUGCAUUGUGCUUAUAAGAGGUGUCAAUAGAGGAUGCAUGCCUCCUUAAUGAGACACAACACACUGUUUCAGGUAUUAAAUAUAGCAACUAACAAUGCAUUUGUAGUUAGCAGCAUUGAUACUGUAUUUUGUUUGUUUGUUGCAACACAUUGGUUCUGACAUGUUUCUGAACUAUCAUGAAUGCAGGUUAAAGUGAACAAGACAGCUCAUACAUGUCCCAGUGUGAACAAGAGGAAGAGAUUGAGGUCAGCUAAGAGUAAAUGGGUUGCUGAUGCUGUGAAGACCUGGAUUUUAGAGGAUUCAGAAGUGGGACCAACAGAAUUGCAGAAAAAUUUGAAGAAGAAGUAUGGCCUGGCAGUUCCAUAUAUGAGAGUAUUCUAUGGGAAGCAAAUGGCACUUGACAAUAUCUAUGGUAAGUGGGUUGACUCUUUUCAGUUAUUGUAUACCUUCAAGGCAGAAGUGGAGAAAGCAUCUCCUGGCAGUGUAGUUAGCAUUGAUAAACACAUUGUACAGUACAAACUAAAUGGGAAGAGUAGACAGAAGGAGUGCUUUAGAAGAGUAUUUGUUUCUUUCAAAGCAUGCUGGCAAGGGUUUUUGAAUGGGUGUAGGCCUUAUCUUGCAGUAGAUGCCACUGCAUUGAAUGGCAGAUUUAGAGGGCAACUAGUUAGUGCAUGUGUUGUGGAUGCUUGCAACUGGAUCUUCCUAGUUGCAUAUGGAGUUGUAGAGAGUGAAAAUAUAGAGAGUUGGACUUGGUUUUUCCAGAAUUUAAGAGAGCUUAUAGGACAUCCACCAGGUCUUGUUAUCCACACUGAUGCAUGCAAAGGCCUGGAGACUGCAGUGGAAGCUGUGUUCCCAGGUGUGGAGCACAGAGAAUGCAUGAGGCAUUUGGCUGCAAAUUUCACAAAAAAGUUUAGAGGAAAAUUCUUUGAUGAAAAUUUAUGGCCCUGCUCAUUGACAUACAGCAUAAAGAAACACAACUACCAUCUUAGGCAGUUGCACAGUAAGGCUGGUGUGAAAGAGUACUUAGAGGAGCAUCACACCAAGCUAUGGGCAAGGUCACUGUUCAAUGAAGUGUGCAAAAUAGAUUUUGUUAAUAACAAUCUAGCUGAGUCCUUCAAUUCAAAGAUUAGAAAAUGGAAGGGUGUACACAUUGUGGACUUGCUAGACAAAAUAAGACAAUUUAUAAUGGAAAAGUUUGAUCUCAGACAGCAGAUUGCAGCUGCUACAUUCAUUGGCCACAUCAUAAUCCCCAAAGUCAUGAAAAUGCUUCAUGCAAAAUCUAAGGACCUUGAUAUGGAGAUAGUGAAAAGAAGCACAUAUGAGGCAGAGAUUACAGCAGUUGACAAGGAAAAGAGAGAGUGGAGAUAUCCAGUAAAUUUGGAAAGUAGGAAUUGCAGUUGUAGUAAGUGGCAGUUAACUGGACAGCCUUGCAUACAUGCUUUGUAUUUUAUUACUUCAAUGAGAGGCCCAGUAAGUGAGAUUGAUCAGUAUGUACAUGAGUACUUUUCUGUUGCUAGGUUCAAUGCUACUUAUGCUGAAAAUUUGCCUGCAAUGAAGGGCAAACAACAGUGGGAUGUGGUGGACCCUGGGUUUAAAUUGUCUGCUCCAUUGCAAAACAGGGCCCCUGGUAGACCUAGGAAGACAAGAAUUAGGGCAAAAUCUGAGGGAAAAGGACUUGGAGGAAGGAGAAAGAAAUGUGGCAGGUGUGGAAGGCUUGGGCAUCAUGCCACUCACUGCAAGGAAUCCAUUGACCCAGCUUUUGGGGAAGAAGAGCACUGGGGGGCUGAAAAUGCAACAGAUGAACCUCUAGAUGCUAAAACUGAUGCUGAAAAUGCUACAGAGGUGGAAACUGAUGCUGAAAAUGCUACAGAGGUGGAAAUUUAUCCCGAAAAUGCUAAAGAGGUUGAACCUGAUGCUGGCAUUGCUACAGAUGCACCAACAGUGUCAUCAGCUGUAAGGUGAAAAUGCUACAGAUGUUCUCAUUUCAAUUUUUGCAUCAUUUAAUGUUCUAAUUUCCUUUUUUGCUUCAUUUAAUGUUCUAAUUUCCUUUUUGCUUCAUUUAAUGUUCUCAUUUCAAUUGUAGCCCAAGAAAGAACUACAAAAAGGCAACUGAGAGAGGGAUGUCACCAGCCAAGAAGAGGCUCAAGUAUGCACCAGAUCCUACAAUAGGAUCUGUAACUCGAAGCAACCAGCUAAGCAAAGAAGUGAGCAAAACUAUCACCACAAGGUGGAGUUCAAGGCUCUUAACUAACCCUGCUUGCAACACCAGGAGCAAGAAGAUGAAAGAUCUGUGAACUUGUUAGCUGCUAUGUUAAGUGUGUUGUUUUUGUUGUUUAAGAACUAUUUGUGAACUUGUUAGCUGUUAUUGCUGCUGAAAUUAUGAACUUAUGUAAUGCUGAACUUGUGAGAUGCUAUCUUGAAUGUGCAAUGCUAUUAUGAAGUUAUGCUAUUUGUGAGAUGCUAUCUUCUGAGCUGCUACUUUUAAAUAUUUUGUGAGCAGCUAGUUUUAACACAACAGAUCAUUUGGUCAGCUGCUAGUUUCAUUUGAGUUGCUACUUUCAAAAUGCCAUGCAAGAUUCUUCAGUCAUUUCCAAAUAGAAAUAUCACAUCAUUCCCAAAUCACAACAUAGCUCCAUCAAAGCAUACACUACAAACAGAAAUCCAUUUAGUAUGGAUUAUUAGACCACCUAGAAACAAAUGUGGCCAACAUGCUAAAACCAAGAACUAUGAUAAAUCCCCAGGCUUGCAUAACCUCGUUCCUCUUCUUCAUCUUUAGCUUCAGUUUCUUGUUCUUCUCGGUUAGAUACAUCACCCUCCUCUCUAAAUAAUGAGCUUUUAGCCAGCUCUUCUCCAAUCCUGCAUGAAGCUCCUCAAAUGCACGACCAACACAUUCGGUCGAUGGCGGGUCAAUCCAGACAACCCAAUCACAUUCGUCAGGAAGCUGCAAAAUCAAUGAUCGAAUUAGAAAGAGGAGAAAGAGCAGAAUCAAGUCAAGCAUUCAAAAGGCAAAACACUUACAUCAAGAGGGCAGCCGAGAAACCUUCUGCCGGAGCUUGCUCCUCCCCAGGCGACACGACAAGCAGGAAUAAGCCCGUGGCCAGGGCACCACCACGACGACCGAACCUCAAGGCCACAGAAUGUCAGAUCGGGGAUGUAGAACUCCGAUUGAAACUGAACUAUCCCGACGCCAUCAACCUAUCAGCAAAGGGCAACCCAAAUUGAUGAACCCUAAUUCCGCAAUAUCACCCAAAUCGACCCUGAAACUUACAUUGGCGGCCACCAACGAGGUCGUAGAAGACAUGCCCGCCGUGCCCGACGUACCCAUCGCUCACCACGCCAUGCCCCUGCCCCUCUCUCUUCGACCGCGGCGGAAACGCCCGAUCCAGUUCUUGCUCAAAAAUGCCCCUGUCGUCGCGAGGAAGAAGAAAGAGGGGAGAGAGAGUGAACCGGUUAGUUGGGCCCAGAUGUAAGGAAGGAGGGGCAAAAAUGUCAAAUAAACGACACGUUAGCGGUCAAACAGCCUUCACUGGACGGAAACGGCUUGGAGGGGCAUUUCUAUAAGGGCACAUGACGGCGGAGGGGCAUUUUUGAGCAGGCUUUGGAAUUAGGGGUAUAUCUGAUUAGGUGGUUCGAGUUAGGGACAUAAAUGCAAAUGGCCCUAAAUAGAUAGGCCCUUCGCAGAGGGAAGCAGGGACUUGUAGAGGUGCCAGAGCUCGGUUUUUAAAAUGGAGAUUGAAUAACAUUUUGCGCGGAAUACUUUUGCUGUCAACGCAACAACUAUGAGAUGACGAUAUCUUCCAUGCUAAACAAAUUAAAGGCGGUUCCCAAACGGAAUGGUAAAGUUUAUACUCCCCAUCCUCCAUAGGCAUCAAUCCAUGGCUUGCUCGAAACAACGAGUGCCUCCAACAUUCAACGGGUCCCAGGGGGAGUUUUGUUUGCAAUUAUUUUGAGUUAGUUUGCAUAAAGCAUGGGACUGGGCAUCCCGGUGACCUGCCAUUUUCUCGUGAAUGAGGAGAGGAGUCCACUCCUCUUGAGAAUAACCGCCUAACAUGGAAGAUAAGGACAUCCCUAGUUGAAACAUGAGCUGCUCGAGCAUACAGAACAUAAUUUCAUUUGAAGGUUUGGAGUUUGGCACAUACAAAUUUACUUGGAACGGAAGGUAAAUACCGCAUAUAGGAAGGUAUAGUGGACUCAUAUGGAACAACUUUGGGGUUUAAGGAGUUUGAAUGCACAAGCAGUAUUCCCGCUUAGUACAGGUGAAGGCUAGCAAAAGACUGGGAAGCGACCAACUGGGAGAGCGACAACAGUCAUAAGCAUACUUAAAAUUAAUUCACACCAAGUAUAAGCAUGAGUAGGAUAUAAUCCACCAUGAACAUAAAUAUCAUGAAGGCUGCGUCGAUUUGAUUCAACUACAUGCGUGAACAUGUGCCAAGUCGAGUCACUCAAUUCAUUUAAAGGAGGAUACCAUCCCAUCAUACCACAUCAUAAUCAUUUAAAGGAGGAUACCAUCCCAUCAUACCACAUCAUAAUCAUUCUAAUAGCAUGUUGGCACACAAGGUAAACCAUUAUAACUCAUAACUAAUCAAGCAUGGCACAAGCAACUAUAAUCUCUAAAUGUCAUUGCAAAUAUGCUUACUUCAUAAUAGCUAACUUAGGAACGAUGAAUCAUCAUAUUUACAAAAACAAGAGAGGUCGAGUUCAUACCAGCUUUUCUCAUCCCAAUAAGUCCAUCGUAUAUCAUCAUUAUUGCCUUUCACUUGCACAACCGAACGAUGUGAAUAAUAAUAGGAGUGCACAUGCAUUGGACUAAGAUGGAAUCUGCAAGCAUUCAAUAAACAGGAGAAGACAAGUAAUAUGGGCUCUAAGUUAGAUAAACAAUCAUGCAUAUAAGAGCCACUUCAACAAUUUAAUCAUGGUCUUCUCCUACUCACCCCCAAAGAAAAGAAAGAAAAGUAAAAACCUAUUUACACGGGAAAGCUCCCAACAAGCAAAAGAAGAACGGGAAAUAUUUUUGGGUUUUCUUUUUUUAGUCCUGCAACAAAGAAAUAAACUACUACUAUUUUUUUCUUAAGGUUUAUUAAACACACAAGUAGAAAGCAGGAAAAAGAAAAUAAUCUAGCAUGGAUAUUACAGUGAAAAAGUAUGAACACCGACAUCUAGCAAUGAGUGUGUGUGAACAUGAAUGUAAUGUCAGUGGGAAAUACGAACUCCCCCAAGCUUAGGCUUUUCGCCUAUGUUGGACUAUCGCCAAGGAUGGCCUGGCGGAUACCCGUAGGUGCAGCUGGGGUCAUACUGUGACGAAGAAGGCUCCGGCUGCCACUGGCUAACAACCUCCUCUGGAUCCCAAGAAUAAACAGAUAGUCGUGGAGGCUCAUCUUGUGGCUCCGGUUCUGGGGCAGGUGCAGGAUUUCGAUAGGCUCGAAUGGCCGCCCACGAAAUGAUGUGAGGACCUGCAAACAAGUUGAACAAAGAGGGAGCAGGCAAAGUAAUAGUCUCAGGGUGAUGUUUAUCAAAGUACAAUUUAUAUUUGAGCUCCCCUUCGCGACUUUUAACAAGAAAGUCAUGCGCUAUCAUACUCUUAUAAUCUAAAUAAGCACGGGGCAGCGCCAUUUCUUCUUUCUCCUCAUGCCUAAUAGGUAUUUCAAAAUGUUCAGCUAGGCGUGAAGCAUAAAUGCCUCCAAAGAUGGGGCCCUUAGGACGGUUCAGACUUAACCGUGUAGCAACAAUUCCACCCAUACUAACAGAGUUAUUGCGGUAUAAACCAUGGAACAAAAUGAUAACAUCAGGAACACUAAGGUUUCCACAGUUUCCGCGACCUAUCAAGCAACGACUAGCAAAUAAGGCGAAGUAGCGUAAAACAGGAAAAUGUAUGCUAGUGAUUCUUGCAUCAGAAACCUUCCUGGUUUCUCCCACCAUGAUAGUGUUAAUAAAAGCUUCUACUUCGUUACGGUGUGGUUCAUCCAAGGUGCCCUCAAAAGGUAUUUUGCAAACCUCACAAAAUUCAGCUAAUGGCAUCCUCUUAACAACGUCAUAUAAAUGAAAUUCUACCGAUGGAGGUGAAUUCUUAGGGAAGAAGUAGAAAUUUUGCACAAAAGUAUUUGUCAGUAAGAGAUACUGAUGACGUUGGUCGCGGAGGAAGUCGGUGAGGCCAGCAUUCUCAAUUAAUAAAUAAAAAUCUUCAUAAAUCCCGGCUCUCCUCAAGAAGUCAUCGGAAGACCAUUCACAUGGCCGGACCUCCGCGGUGCGAGGCAAAUUAAAUUUGGGCUUCUGCUCUUCUUCCUUUUGUUUUUCCUUCGAGCUUUGGCUUGACGAGCCACUCAAAAGUCUCUUCAUUAUUUCUGAAACAAUCUGAAAUUUUUAGUAACUUCAAAUAAAACUGAACCAACUUCGAUAAAAUUGAUAGCAACUACUCCCACGAGUGCCUAGAGCCUAAAUCAAGCAUUAGAACUACUUGGGACCAUAUGAAUUUGACAUGCAAGCUCAAGAACAUGGUCACCUAUGCAACAUAAAUUUGCAAUGAAUAAAGCACUAGGACAAGAACUAAUUGGACCAAUGGAGGAGUCACAUACCAAGGAACAAUCUCCCCAAGCAGUUUUGCGAGAGGUGCUUUGAGCAAGGAGAUCAAAAAUCACAGCAACCGGGGCUGGAACUCGUGCUUGAGUUGGUUUUUCGUGUUUGUGUGAGGCAGAGGAAGAAGAUGGGUGCAGGGAUAAGUGGAGGAGGGCCACCAUGGGCCCACGAGGCAGGAGGGCGCGCCCAGGGGGGUAGGGCGCGCCCUCCACCCUCGUGACCAGGUGGCAGCUCCCCCCGCGGUGAUUUUUGCACAGUAAAUUCUUAAAUAUUCCUGAAAAAAUCAUAUUAAAUUGGCAUGGCAUUCUGAGGACUUUAAUUUUCAGGAUGUUUUUUUAUUGCACGGAUAAGUCGGGAAACAGACAGAAAAAAUAUUAUUUUACUUUAUUUCUACUAGAUAACAGAAAAUAUAAAGAGGGUAUAGAAGGUUGUGCUUCUAGUUUCAUCCAUCUCAUGCUCAUCAAAAAGAAUCCACUAACAAGGUUGAUCAAGUCUUGUUAACAAACUCAUUCCGAUUAACAUGGAACCGGAGAAAUUUCGAGUACCACUAUGUUACCUCAACAGGGAUAUGGACAUCCCCAAUAAUAAGUAUAUCAUACUUUUUCUUGGCGGUAGGGAGAGGAAAUUCAAAACCUCCAAAUAUAAUCGAUGGAAUUUUUCCAAUAGAAUUGAUACUACAAACCUGAGGUUGUUUCCUCGGAAAGUGUACCGUGUGCUCAUUGCCAUUAACAUGAAAAGUGAUAUUGCCUUUGUUGCAAUCAAUAACAGCCCCUGCAGUAUUAGGAAAAGAUCUUCCAAGAAUAAUAGACAUACUAUCAUCCUCGGGAAUAUCAAGAAUAACAAAGUCCGUUGGAAUAGUAACGUUUGCAACCACAAUAGGCACAUCUUCACAAAUACCGACAGGUAUAGCAGUUGAUUUAUCAGCCAUUUGCAAAGAUAUUUCAGUAGGUGUCAACUUAUUCAAGUCAAGUCUACGAUGUAAAGAGAGAGGCAUAACACUAACACCGGCUCCAAGAUCACAUAAAGCAGUUUUAACAUAAUUUCUCUUACUGGAGCAUGGUAUAGUAGGUACUCCGGGGUCUCCAAGUUUCUUUGGUAUUCCACCCUUAAAAGUAUAAUUAGCAAGCAUGGUGGAAAUUUCAGCUUCAGGUAUCUUUCUUUUAUUAGUAAUAAUAUCCUUCAUAUACUUAGCAUAAGGAUUUGUUUUGAGCACAUCAGUUAAUCGCAUAUGCAAAAAGAUGGGUCUAAUCAUUUUAGCAAAGUGCUCAAAAUCCUCAUCAUCCUUUUUCUUAGAUGGUUUCGGAGGAAAAGGCAUGGGUUUCUGAACCCAUGGUUCCCUUUCUUUACCAUGUUUCCUAGCAACGAAGUCUCUUUUAUCAUAAGUUGAUUCCUUGAUUGUGGGUUAUCAAGAUCAACAGCAGGUUCAGCUUCUACAUCAUUAUCAUUACUAGGUUGAGCAUUAUCAUGAACAUCAUCAUUAACAUUUUCACUAGGUUCAUGUUCAUCACCAGAUUGUGUUUCAGCAUCAGACAUAGAGAUAUCAUUUGGAUUCUCAGGUGACUCAGCAAUAGGUUCACUAGAAGUUUGCAAAGUCCUAUCAUUUUUCUUUUUCUUCCUUUUAGAAGAACUAGGUACAUCAAUAUCAUUUCUCUGAGAAUCUUGCUCGGUUCUCUUAGGGUGGCCUUCAGGAUACAAAGGUUCCUGAGUCAUUCGACCAGUUCUAGUAGCCACUCUAACAGCAUAAUCAUUUUUCUUACUAUUCAUUUCAUCAAGCACUUCUUUUUGAGCUUUAAGUACUUGUUCUACUUGAGUGGUAACCAUAGAAGCAUGUUUGCUAACAAGUUUAAGUUCACCUCUAAUACCCGACAUAUAAUCACCCAAGUGUUUAAUCAUAUAAGCAUCUUGCUUUAAUUGUCUACCAAAAUAAGCAUUAAAGUCAUCUUGCUUAAACAUAAAGUUAUCAAACUCAUCCAAGCACUGACUAGCAAUUUUAGUAGGAGGGACUUCAGCUUUAUCAUAUCUAUAGAGAGAAUUUACCUUUACUACCUGUGUCGGGAUAUCGGGAGGUUCUUGAGUAAAUAAGUAAUUUAGAUCAUAUACUUCUUCAACAGGCGGUAAAUUAAGACCGUGUAUUUCUUCAAUAGGAGGUAAAUUCUUAACAUCUUCAGCUUUAAUACCUUUUCCUUUCAUAGAUUUCUUUGCCUCUUGCAUAUCUUCGGGGCUGAGAAAUAGAACACCUCUCUUCUUCGGAGUUGGUUUAGGAAUAGGCUCAAUAAUUGGCUCAGAAAUUGGCUCAGGAGCUGGCUCAGGAGGUUCCCAAUUAUUUUCAUUGUCAACAUAUUAUUCAAUAGAAUUUCAGCUUCAUCCGGUGUUUUUUCCCUGAAAAGAGAACCAGCACAACUAUCCAGGUAAUCUCUGGAAGCAUCGGUUAGUCCAUUAUAAAAGAUAUCGAGUAUUUCAGGUUUCUUAAGAGGAUGAUCAGGCAAAGCAUUAAGUAACUUGAGAAGCCUCCCCCAAGCUUGUGGGAGACUCUCUUCUUCAAUUUGCACGAAGUUGUAUAUUUCCCUCAAAGCAGCUUGUUUCUUAUGAGUAGGGAAAUAUUUAGUAGAGAAGUAAUAGAUCAUAUCCUGGGGACUUUGCACACAACCAGGAUCAAGAGAAUUAAACCAUAUCUUAGCAUCACCCUUUAAUGAGAAUGGAAAUAUUUUGAGUAAAUAAAGGUAGCGCGAUCUCUCAUUAUUGGUAAACAGGGCGGCUAUAUCAUUUAACUUAGUAAGAUGUGCCACAACGGUUUCAGAUUCAUAGCCAUAGAAAGGAUCAGAUUCAACCAAAGUAAUUAUAUCUGGAUCAACAGAAAAAUCAUAAUAAUCCUUAUCGGGAACACAAAUAGGUGAAGUAGCAAAAGUAGGGUCGGGUCUCAUUCUAUCUCUAAAAGAUUCUUUACUCCAUUUAACUAGCAACCUCUUAAGUUCAUAUCUAUCCUGGCAAGCAAAAAUAGCUGCAGAAGAUUCCGCAUCAAAAAGAUAACCCUCGGGAAUAGCAGGCAUAUUUUCAUCAUCACUAUCAUCAUCGUAUUCAGGUGCAAUAAUUUCUCUUUAUCUAGACCUAGCAAUUUGCUCAUCGAGAAAUUUACCAAGGGGUACAGUAUUAUCAAGCACAGAAGUGGUUUCAUCAUAAGUGUCAUGCAUAGCAGAAGUGGCAUCAUCAAUAAUAUGCGACAUAUCAGAAUUCAUAGCAGUAGCAGGUUUAGGUGUCGCAAGCUUAUUUAUAACAGAAGGAGAAUAUAGUGCAGAGCUAGAUGGCAUGUCCUUACCUCCCCUCGUAGUUGAGGGCAAAAUAGUAGUUCGAUCAUCUUUCAAGUUCUUCAUAGUGUCCAGCAGAUAUAAAUCCCAAGUGACUCAAAGAAUAGAGCUAUGCUCCCCAGCAACGGCACCAGAAAAAGGUCUUGAUAACCCACAAGUAUAGGAGAUCGCAACAGUUUUCGAGGGUAGAGUAUUCAACCCAAAUUUAUUAAUUCGACACAAGGGGAGCCAAAGAAUAUUCUCACGUAUUAGCAGCUGAGUUGUCAAUUCAACCACACGUGGAAACUUAGUAUCUGCAGCAAAGUGUUUAGUAGCAAAGUAAUAUGAUAGUGGUAGUAAUGGUAACAAAAGUAAAGACAACAAAAGUAAUGUUUUUGGUAUUUUGUAGUGAUUGUAACAGUAACAACGGAAAAGUAAAUAAGCGAGAACCAGUAUAUGGAAAACUCGUAGGCACCAGAUCAGUGAUGGAUAAUUAUGCCGGAUGUGGUUCAUCAUGUAACAGUCAUAACAUAGGGUGACACAGAACUAGCUCUAGUUCAUCAAUGUAAUGUAGGCAUGUAUUCCGAAUAUAGUCAUACGUGCUUAUGGGAAAGAACUUGCAUGACAUGUUUUGUCCUACCCUCCCGUGGCAGCGGGGUCCUAUUGGAAACUAAGGGAUAUUAAGGCCACCUUUUAAUAGAGAACCGGAACAAAGCAUUAGCACAUAGUGAAUACAUGAACUCCUCAAACUAUGGUCAUCACCGGGAGUGGUUCCGAUUAUUGUCACUUCGGGGUUGCCGGAUCAUAACACAUAGUAGGUGACUAUAGACUUGCAAGAUAGGAUCAAGAACACACAUAUAUUCAUGAAAACAUAAUAGGUUCAGAUCUGAAAUCAUGGCACUCGGGCCCUAGUGACAAGCAUUAAGCAUAGCAAAGUCAUAACAAUAUCAAUCUUAGAACAUAGUGGAUACUAGGGAUCAAACCCUAACAAAACUAACUCGAUUACAUGAUAAAUCUCAUCCAACCCAUCACCGUCCAGCAAGCCUAUGAUGGAAUUACUCACGCACGGCGGUGAGCAUCAUGAAAUUGGUGAUGGAGGAUGGUUGAUGAUGACGACGGCGACGAAUCCCCCUCUCUGGAGCCCCGAACGGACUCCAGAUCAGCCCUCCCGAGAGAGAUUAGGGCUUGGCGGCGGCUCCGUAUCGUAAAACGCGAUGAUUUCUUCUCUCCGAUUUUUUUCUCCCCGAAAGCCAAUAUAUGGAGUUGGGUUGGCAUCGGAGGGCCACCAGGGGGCCCACGAGGUAGGGGGCGCGCCCUAGGGGGGGCACCCCCCACCAUUGUGGACAGGGUUUGGGCCCCCUGGUAUUCAUCUUUGGCGAAGAUUUUUUAUUGUUUUUUCUAAGGUGUUCCGUGGAGUUUCAGGUCAUUCCGAGAACUUUUAUUUUCUGCACAUAAAACAACAUCAUGGCAAUUCUGCUGAAAACAGUGUCAGUCCGAGUUAGUUCCAUUCAAAUCAUACAAGUUAGAGUCCAAAACAAGGUCAAAAGUGUUUGCAAAAGUAGAUAAGACGGAGACGUAUCAGCCGACACCUUCCUCAACCCUACCGGAGCCGCUUCGCCGACACCAUCAUCAAACCUACCGGAGUAGCUUCGCCUAUACCAUUCUCAACCCUACCGGGGCCGCUUUGCCAACUCAGUAGUCCACGGCCUCAGAUCCGCUUCCUCGCACCCUCAUCCAACCUACCGGAGCAACUUCUGACGCCACGUCCAUGGCUGCAGAUCCGCAUCAUCGACACCACCCUUAACCCAACCAUCAGAGCAGCUUCUGACGCCCCGUCCACGACCGCAAAUCCGCGUCAUCGACACCAUCCUUAACCCAACCACCGAAGCAGCUUCUGACGCCCUGUCCACGGCCGCAGAUCCGUGUCGUCAACAGCAUCCUUAACCCAACCACCGGAGCAGCUUCACCUACGCCCUCGUCCAUGGCCACAGACCCGCUUCGCCCACAAUGUAGUCCACCCUGCCGGAGCCGCUCCACAAACACCCUACUCGACGGUUCUAGAUCUCCUUACCGUACCCCGACAGCCAGCGCAGUGUCAUCACCCUUGACGUUUCUAACCUGAUUCCCACCAUCUAGAGAGAUGCCAAGCACCCGCCACGGCCUAGGUACUUGUCACCUUUAAACCCGUCCAACAUCACCUGCCCAAUGUACUUCAAAUAUACUAAAUGGUCGCUGUUACCUAUUAUGCAGCUGGCAAAAACUACAAGGACGAUGUUUCUUCUGGAUCUAACAGCUUGGCCAACCAAGAUCCUGGACUGAGGCAUUGCUAUGAUCUUGUAAGCGCGUCUCUCUCUCUCUUGUGUUGUUCUGUACCUGCUAGCGUGCUUUGCUAGGAUUUUCGACCAGUAAUCCCUUUGUGCAGACAAUGAUUUCUACUACUGGCUGCUAAAUUAGAUAUGUAGAUGUCAUACAUGAUACUACCUCGUACCUCCGUUCCUAAAUAUAAGUCUUUCUAGAGAUUCCAGUAUAGGCUACAUACGGAGCAAAAUGAGUGAAUCUACACUCGAAAAUGCAUCUAUAUACAUUUGUAUGUGGUCCAUACUGGAAUCUCUAUAAAGACAUAUAUUUAGGAAUAGGGGCAGUACAUUACACAAAAUCGUAGGUGGCAUGUAGGAAUUCCAGUGCACUACAUUAGGCUCCCUUAGAGUGCCUGCUAGUCCAGCAUACAGAUUCAUGGCUAGUUUAUGGUACGCACACAAUCGUUAAUUGGUGGUUUAAAUAUGCGCAAGGGAUAUGCAAUGUCGUAUCAUGUAGAGAUGUCUAAAAUUAGCCGUGUCAACUUGCAGAUAGGGUUACACAAUGAAAAAGUACAAGAUGUAUGUGGCAAUUUCAUGGAACAUCGCAAAAAAAGGAGAGGCGGCGGUGAGCCUAUACAGUGUGCUAUGGUACGUCACUCCUCCAUUGCAGUUAUUUGUAUGCCAGUUCUAUUAGCCAAGUUUCUUAGGGACAGUUAUUACGAGUUAUCCUAAGAAAAUAAGCACCUAUGAAUAUAAGCUCCAUGUAAUAAGCCAACCAGUUCUUUUCAUUGCGUUUUCAGCUUAUCUUUGGUAUGAUCAGUGGAAAGUCUAGAUUGCAUUAUAUAUUUUUUCAUUUUGCUGCCCAUAUGGAAAUUAAUUUGACUUGCAAACAUCACAAAUUGAACCCAAUGCAGUAAUUAAUAUGAUGGGAAAACAGACCAUCACUAUUUUCUCAAAAUGCAAAUACAAAGAUACCAUCUACUUGGCACAAUCUACUUUGGUCAAUGUUUUCCAUAGAGAUCCCAUUGCCUAAUUUAAACGAAGAACGCAUGACCCACAUUUAAAUGAAGAACAAUUAUUUAUUGAAAUUUGAUGGUCCAAGUGGCUGGUUAUUAUCAUAUAGCAGCACCACCUGAAAGCAUCAUAUAGCAGCAACAGCAGCUCAUAGCAACUCAUCAUACAGCAGCAGCAGUCUGCAAUUCAUCAUAUACCAGCAGCAGCUCGUAGCAAUUCAUCAUAUAACAGCAGCAGGAGCAGCUCAUAGCAAUUCAUCGUAUAGCAGCAGCAGGAGCGGCUCAUAGCAAUUCAUCAUAUAGCAGCAGCAGGAGCAGCUUAUAGCAACUCAUCAUAUAGCAGCAGCAGCUCAUAGCAAUUCAUCAUAUAGCAGCAACAGCAGCUCAUAGCAACUCAUCAUACAGCAGCAGCAGCUCAUAGCAAUUCAUCAUAUAGCAGCAGCAGGAGCAGCUCAUAGAAAUGCAUCAUAUAGCAGCAGCAGAAGCAGCUCAUAGCAAUUCAUCGUAUAGUGGAUCAGAAUGAAAAUUUGGCAAAAAAUCAAAGGAGAUCCUCACCUUGUUGGAUGAGCUCAUCCUUCAAUAGCACCUCAAGGCCAUGGCCUGGGAGGAGGGGAGGGGGAAUAAGGUGCCUUCUGCCGCAGUGUGGUAUCAGCUGUAGUUGUGCAGCGCCCGCCGGAGUAGUGCAUUGGACGAACCACAAUGGAGCAGCUGCUGGAGACCAUGAGAAUGAGGGGCGGCGCCAGAGGGAGGAACAGCCAGGGAGAUUUGCCCCUACCCACCGGCCAUGUAGCCUAGCUGGACAUAGCAUCAUCGAGGACCAGGCCAGAUGGGACCAGUGGUGACGGCUCGCUGGAGGAACCCUAGCGCUGCAGGCAGGGGAUCGAGGUAGAGGGAAAGGGGAGAGGAGAUGCAAGUGGGCAGGCAAUGAAUGCUUGCAUGUUUGUUUUUUACUUGAGGUUCAAGUGUGACACGGGCGUUAACAGUUGCAUUUUGAGUGUAAUAUAGGCAGACAACAGAGUCAUUUCACUAUUCCCCUUCCCUUCAAUUUUUAGUGAGGUUCUACCCGAAACACCCCCCUCCAAAGCUAAAUUAGUUAAGCCCAAGCCCAUAACUCAAAAAUGACUUCUUUACAUCUUUUAUGGCUUAUUUUGACAAUAUUCCCUGAAAAGGCGGAAUCGAACUGGCCCUUAACAUGCAAUUCAAUUGUGCAUGCAAUGAUGAAUCACUCAUACCUGCUAUCUGUACAUUUAGGCAUCAUCAUACAUGGCAUAACCUAAUACAUGUGCAUUCCAUUGUAGAAUGUGGAAUAUGCAAUGUUUAUGUUAGUUCAUAUGUUGCACAUGAUGUUUAAAUGCCCCUUAAAUCUGGUCAGUCAAGUGAUGGUCUUUAAGCCUCCUUCUUUGCUUCUUUUCUUGAUAUGUAAGAUUUGCUCACACAUCUGUUCAAUUGCUUGUUUGCAUCAGCCAACCAUACUAGGAUUGUUUGCUUUGAUUACUUGCCGCUCUUGACCUAACACUCUAACAGCGCUUGUCAAUGAUUUAAACACUAAGGGCUGCUGUAGUGGGGCCUUGUCUAACUCAUAGGUGACAUAAAGGUUUGGUUGUACACUACAGUAGGCUCUCCAAGAGUACCUGGAGAUCCAGUUCGAAGGUAUGCCUAGUUUUUACAUAGUGCAGACAUAGUAAAUGCUCAUUUCAUUGUGUGCAAGUGCAAGAGAUGCGGCAUGUUUCAUUAUGUGGUGUUGUUUUGUUAUAAUCUCAUCCUUUUGUGUUCAUAGACUAGAAAGUAUGCAUAUUUAUCUUCCAAGGAGACGAGUACCUAGUUUGUGUCACCUUGCAGAGGGGGUGCAAUGAAGAUAAGAUUGAGGAUUUCCAAGUACAAGAUGUUAGGAAGGAGCCUUGCAAGAGAAGUAGGAGCUGCGCUGAGCCUCUUCAACCUGCUAAGGUAAGUCACUGUAUGCAACUCAACUGUUCAAUUCCUUGUUUGUUUCAGGCAUAGUUAAUUUGCUCUUUUCAAUUGCUUUAUUUGUCCUCAGUUAAUGAGAUGCCCAAAUAAUCAUGCCUAAUGUUCGGUACUUGUAUAACUAUUAGUUGACAUAAUUAAAGGCCUUACCAUUUAAUUACUCUGCCUAAAUGUGCCUGAAGCUUUGAAGUCUAUUAACCAACUAUUAUUGCAUGAGGCUCGCAAUCUAGUUUAUACUACGCUAAUGAUUGCAUAGUUUUGCCUGUUGUAGUAUGUUUGUAUGAAACCCUCUGAUGUUCAUUAUGCUCCCUAAGACUUUAGUUGAGAUACAGAAUGGCCAACUGCUUGCUUAUACGGAACGUGAUGUCUAAAUUUGUAACUUGUCUGUGUUUUCGAUUGGGCCCCAACAUCAUGCUCCUCUGGUGAACUAAGAGGGAUUUCUAUAUGCAGGCUGCACACACUAUCUUUCUUAUAAUUUUUAAAAUAUCACCUGCUUAUGCUUCAUGACGUGUAACAUUAUUGUUAGUCCUGUUUUGCCAUGUAGUACAAAAUAGUGUCUUGCUCGCUUCACUGUUGUAACUAUAUUUUUGCCCUAGUCAUGUGUACUUACAGAAACAUUUCAGGAUGAAGUGAUAUCAACACAAAGAUCUGCGAGCAGUGUGGCAUGGCCGUUAUCGAAUGAUUAUGGAUUGGAAUUGGAAUGUGCUGAUGUUCUCGAGCAUCGACUAGAGGUGGCAAGAUAACGUGUACAUGAUUGUCAACAUUUAAUCAACAAGUUGAGACUAGACAUGCAGGUAUUAGAUGCAGGAGUCAAAAAAUGAAACAAGACACUGAGGUAACUGUCGGUGUCAAAAUCGGCGGAUCUCGGGUAGGGGGUCCCGAACUGUGCGUCUAGGCAGAUGGUAACAGGAGACAAGGGACACGAUGUUUUACCCAGGUUCGGGCCCUCUUGAUGGAGGUAAAACCCUAUGUCCUGCUUGAUUAAUAUUGAUGAUGUGUGUUACAAGAGUAGAUCUACCACGAGAUCAAGGAGGCUAAACCCUAGAAGCUAGCCUAUGGUAUGAUUGUUGUUCGUCCUAUGGACUAAAGCCAUCCGUUUUAUAUAGACAUCGGAGAGGGCUAGGGUUACACAGAGUCGGUUACAAUGGUAGGAGAUCUACAUAUCCGUAUCGCCAAGCUUGCCUUCCACGCCAAGGAAAAUCCCAUCCGGACACGGGACGAAGUCUUCAAUCUUGUAUCUUCAUAGUCUUGGAGUUCGGCCGAUCAUGAUAGUUCGGCUAUCCGGACACCCCCUAGUCCGGAACUCCCUCAGUAGCCCCUGAACUAGGCUUCAAUGACGACGAGUCCGGUGCGCAUGUUGUCUUCGACAUUGCAAGGCGGGUUCUUCCUCCGAAUAAUUUAUAGAAGAUUGUGAACACCAGGAUAGUGUCCGGCUCUGCAAAAAUAAAUUCCACGUACCACCGUAGAGAGAAUAAUAUUACACAAGUUCAGUCUGCUGACGUAUUUUGUGGCGUGACGUCACAUCAUUACCAAGCCUUUACUCGAAUUGUUUUUAUUGUAUCACCUCAGCGUGUUUAGCGAGGCGGUUUCCUUGGCACGUCUUGUCGAAGCAGAGAUCGUGUUCCCCUUAUUCCGAGAUUCCCAUAAAUAUGGACGUGGGUAACCCAACCGCGCCCGUUGUCACGCCCCCUCCAUCAAAGGCGGGUUCCAAACGGUCGCGGGGACGGCUCUUGGUAUUCUUCCUCUUUAUAAUGAGACCAAGGCCCGUUCUUUUCCUUCAAUCCUCUAUCGAAUCCGCCCCUCGCCCCGAGUUCCAACACCCAGGGCUCCAUAUUCGGGUACCUUCGAUAUUCGACAAUGUCCGGCCCCGACCUACGAGGCCGGUGGAUGCCCUCCUCCUUCACGGAAGAGGACGUGCUAAAGCUAAGAGACGCCAGGUACUUAACCUAUGAGAUUUCGCAUAGGCUGCCUGCCCAAGGGCAAGUUAUUCCUACUCCCGAGCUUGGCGAGAGCGUCGUGUUCGUGUCUCACCUCCGUCAGGGUUUAGGCUUCCCGACGGACCCCUUCGUGAGGGGGCUCAUGUUUUACUAUGGGCUGGAAUUCCAUGACUUGGCUCCGGAGUCCAUCCUCCACAUCUCAUCAUUCAUUGUCGUCUGUGAAGCCUUCCUCCACACUACCACUCACUUCGGCUUGUGGCUCAAAACCUUCAACGUGGAGCCGAGAUGAUUGAGGGGCGUCAGGCAGAGUGCGGAGGGGCGGUUAUAAGUAAGAGGGCCGAUGCACCAUGGCCCGAGGGCUCUUUUCAGGAGGAGCUCGGCUUGUGGCAACAUGAGUGGUUCUAUAUCACCGCUCCCAGGGGCAGCAGGCAGAGGCUGCCGCCCGUCUUCCGCUCGGGCCCUCCACAACAGUUGACGUCAUGGGUCAACAAGGGGCGUGACUGGGGGCCGUCCAAGGACGUUCCCCUGUUGCAGGACCGGAUUCGAGGCCUCCAAGAAAGGGAGAUCAAUCUGGCCGUAGUGGUACAUGUUAUGUUGAUCCCGCGCCUACUGCCCUGCAAACGUCGCCCCUCCGCCUAUGGGAAUUUAAUCCGGAGGGGCCACGAGUUCUUCAACACUUCAUGGGUUUGACACCCGCGGAGAUGUACAAACUGUUCUUCGGAUCGCAAGAGAUGCGUCCGGAAUUGACCAAGGAUGCUGGCCUAAGCUGCAAUCGCUCGGAUACUCAAGUAAGUAGCCCUGUGUCCGGACACAUCGUUCAUUCAUUUACUGUGGGUUUGCCUUUUAACUAGCUAUCCCUUGGACAGGAGUGGAUAGCGCAAGCAAAAUUGAUACGGUGUCAGGCCCCCCUCCCUGAGACCACGCAGGAUCCCGUGUUAAUCAAAAUGUUAGAGGUUGCACCUUUGGAGGAGGGCGAAGAAGGGCACAGGGGAACUACCACCUCAGCCAUGGAGGCUUUCAGUAAGGGAGGAAUCGAGAGUCCCUCCUUACAGGGGGAGAAGAGGACCGCUUCCGAAGACCCGGAGGUCAAGGCCUCAAAGCGGGGAAAGAAAUCUGUACCGGAAGGUCCUGUGCCAAGAAGAGCCCCGGCCAUACUGUCUCCUCCGAGGACUCAGCCCUCCAGCGAGUCGUAAGUAAAAAAGAGGGAAUUUUGUAAUAGUGGACACCCCUGCUUAAUUUCUAAGGGUAACCGAAGUUUUCAUCUUGUAGUUCGGAUCUCAGCCUGUCUCAGCACAGCUCAUCUUCGGGAGACCUUCGUCCGGAGAUGAUGGAGAGCGAAACGCCUCCAUCUGCGCCCCAUCGUGUGGGGCGGACGACCCCGAGGUGUCGACGCGGAGGGUCUCUUCGAGUCCGGCGGGGCCAGAGAGUUCGGCACCCAUUGGAGUACGGCUGGUGGAGCUGCAGGAUUUGCUUAAGAGGGCGUCCAUCUCAAAAGAUCACCGCACAUUAAUCAGUAUGGUGAUUGAGAGGAUCUCGUCCGCCGAAAUCGGGUUGUGUGAGGCUGUCGAAAGUUUGCUGACGGGAUUUGAGGUACGCAAAAAAUGACGUACCUUUUGACAGUUUUUGCACAUGAAGUGCGCCCUGUAUAGAUAGUAGCCCCUGAGACUUGGUAUGUUGUCGAAAACGGCAGCGUGCCGAGGAUCAUAAUCUCAGUUAUAGAUUGUCGCCUUUCCUACGUAGGUGGCGGGACGUUUGGUGGCCAGCCGGACUGAUGGAGAUGCCGAGCUUAAGAGGCAACUCGAUGUUGCGGAUGCGGACAUCUCGCUAAUCAAUAAACGACUCGAUGAGUCACAAGGUAUGUGGUUGCUCCGCGGUCGCCUAGUAAGGGAGCUGACGCCCAUUCCUUACCAUUUGUAUGCUUGAUGCAGAUGGUGCUACUGCUGUGGAAGACCUUCGGGCAAAGCUUGCUCGGGCCAAGGAGCAAUCCAGGAUAAGUGAUGCGGCUGCCUUGAAGGCAGCAGAAGAGCUAAAAGCCGAAAAGGCUGCUCACUGCCGAAGCAGGGAAGAGUUGGCCGGAAUGGCCUUGAAAUUAAAAGAUGCUACCGACCGUUGUGAGGUUCUUGAAGGAGAACGCCGAGUGGAGCAAGAUGGCCUGAAGAAGGCCGGCGCCGAAGUCAAGGAUGCCCGGAGUGAGAUGCGGGCUAUGAAGGAGGAAGUGCAUCAGGCCGGAGACAUUGCGGCUGGAAAGCCCUUUCUUCUGCGUAGGAAGUUCACGGAUUCGAAGUAUGCUCAGCUGGGCCAGUUGUGUGGUGCGGAGGAUCCUUAUCUGGAUUUGGCGGCGAGUGCAGCGGACGCAGUCGUGCACUUCCGAAGCCAGAAGGAUCAUGAAAUGGAAGAACUUUACUGGUCUCAAUUCCAUAGUCCGGAGCGUCCACUUCCGUUGACUGAUCGGCUGGCUGAGUGGGCUGAGCUGAAUAGGUUGUCCGGACUUGCCAUGACGGAUGUGGUCACUCAUCUGUGGCCGGAAAGGCCCAAGCCGAAGAGUUAUUUUGGCUUGUUGCAGCAAUUCCUUGGGGCGGUGCCGCAUAUCAAGGCGAUAAAGCGGUCGGUAUGCAUAGAAGGUGCACAGAUGGCGCUCGCCCGUGUGAAGACAUACUGGGCGAACAUUAAUGCCACCGCUGUUGCAUCCCGGGGUUCGGACAAGAGCCGAUUACCCGCCGAGCACUAUUUUGAGGAAGUCCUGCAGGACGCUCAUUUAAUAGAAUCGCAGUGCUCGAAAGAUGUCAUGUUCAAAUGACGUGUAUAAUUUGUUAGAUCAUAUUUAUAAUGCAAUAGCUUUUUAUACUUGUGCGUUCAAGUAUUGAACUAUCUCCUGUGCGGUCAUAUAUGUAUGAAUAACCUGAAAGUUGCAGUCUUUGGCUUCAGCCCCCACGCACAUGGUGCGGGGGUGUUUGCAAAAAGAAAAGCGCUUUUUCACACUUAAUCCAACGUCUUGGUCCUUUUAGGGAGGUGAUAGCGUAGCAAACUAGGCAACCGGACUAUAAUGCUUUAUCACUUUCACUUAGCCAUAGGAGCUCGAAUGUGGGGCUACGAUAUAGCCCCUAGCGGCACCGCUCUUCUCCGAACUUCGGGGCGCGUAUGUGCCUGACCGGGAAGCGGUCCUUCGUCAAAGCGGAGGAAUUCUAAACAUUCCAAUGGUCGAUCGAGUGGUUGACCAGUCUCUCGCUAUAUCAUGACAGUUAGUUUUCGGCUUUCUCUACUAAGGUGUUCGCCCGGCCGAACUGGGGCACAAUCGCAAUAGUUCUCCUGGUGCCGCGUUAGCCGAUGAUACGGAACGUAAGGCAGCAAAACACAGGAGCUGGGCAAACCCAACAUUUGACCAAAGACAUGAUUCGGAGCUGAUGCAUAUAAGGCCUAACUCGAGACGCCGAACACUCCGUGAGGUGUUCGGUCUUUAUGAUACCGGGCAGAACAAUGCCCUAAGCCCCUAGUGUCCAGGUACAGGUGGGAACUUCUGACGCGGCCGAUGCCAAAACGCCAGCCUCCUCCUCGGCUUUGGUGGGAAACCGGGGGAUGUGUAUCAACAAGAGACAGUAAGAAAGGUUUACGCAGGGUCUUAAUCUGAAAAGAAUCCUUGCAACGGGUCCCUGCUGCACGUCUGCGCCUGUGUCUCGGUUGUGCUGUAUCCUGGACGGGUGUAGCACGUGCUUCAUCUGUAAAAGAGAAAGACUUAGUUUCCAAGAAAUAUCGUGCAUAAGUUGUAUUAAAAUGGAAUAAAAGGAAGAAAGUUGAGCUUUGUUGGCUCUCAUCAUUUAUACACGUGGCCCGUUAUAAAGGGGAUAUGCGGCUGGGAAGCCCCUUGUUUAGUUACGCCGGACUCGCCUAACCAUGUCCGAGGUCUGAAUGACUUGUUUUUAGGGGCUUUGACCCGCAAGGUCUGAUUAGUGUGUGGCUGUCGAGGCAGUCUCACGUUCUCCGUGGUCGAGGAACACUCGGAGUUACUUUUUAAUGAACUUAUGCCACAUUGACCGGGCAUUUUUAAGCGUAAAAAAUGCGUAAUGUGGUAUUGCAUUAGGGCUGGCGAAAGCUGCGCGCCCCAGUAGUGCUUAAGGGCUACUGUUUGAAUGGGGCGAUGGAUAGUGAGCUUUUCGCGACGGAGGUUGUUGGAUGAACCGAACGCAACCUCUAGUGGUACAGAGCCUGUAUAAUUGGCUUAAAGGCCUGGCGUCACUCCUUUGAAAGAAGUGCGGCUAUGGCGAAUUUUGGUAGGGUCUAUCCCCAUUCUGCGGGCGGUGUCCUGGUAUUGCAGGUGCUGCGCUGUCUUUUCGUGUUAUCACAUGAAGUGAGUUCACUGUUUUGACUUCUAGUGGGAAAGUCUUCUGUUUGCCGUAGUGCUGCUUUUGGGUUUCGUCACUUUCGCUUGGUGUGUCGAGCCCCUUGUGUUCGGCGUUAAGUCGGCCAGACUGUUUGAAGACCCAACAAUCUCUGUGGGUAUGGUUUGCAGGCUUCCCGGGGGUACCAUGUAUUUGACAUAGUCUAUCUAGAAUCUUGUUUAGGUUGGAUAGCUCGUCACUGUUGUCCUUAAGGGGCAGUGUUUUGUUGUUCGGACGAGAGCUUUUGAAUCCGGCAUUGACCGCCGUACUAUUCGGGCCAUUUUCCUUAUUCCGGCGCUGAUCUUUUCUGCGUCGUGAUUUCCCAUUUCCAUACCUGACUUCGGAUGUACUCGGAUCGCUGGUGCUGCAUCUAGCCAGCCAGCUAUCUUCCCCCGCGCAAAAGCGGGUCAUGAGGCUUGUUAGUGCGGCCAUUGUUCUUGGUUUUUCCUGGCCGAGGUGUCUGGCAAGCCAUUCGUCUCGGACGUUGUGUUUAAAGGCUACUAAGGCUUCAGCGUCCGGACAGUCGACUAUUUGGUUCUUUUUAGUUAGGAACCUGUUCCAGAAUUUGCGUGCUGACUCUCCGGGCUAUUGAGUUAUGUGACUUAAAUCGUCUGCAUCCGGAGGGCGGACAUAGGUCCCCUGAAAAUUUGCUCGAAACGCAUCCUCAAGCUCUUCCCAACUUCCAAUGGUAUUUUCUGGGAGGCUUUUAAGCCAAUGCCGAGCUGGCCCUUUGAGCUUGAGGGGUAGGUAUUUUAUGGCAUGGAGAUCGUCUCCUCUGGCCAUAUGUAUGUGUCGGAUGUAAUCCUCAAUCCAGACUCCGGGGUUUGUUGUUCCGUCAUAUGCCUCUAUGUUUACGGGUUUGAAUCCCGCUGGAAAUUCAUGAUCCAGUACCUCAUCGGUGAAACAUAGUGGGUGUGCGACGCCCCUGUAUUUGGGUGUUCCGUUGUCUUCAAAUGCUCGGCGGGUUAUGUUGCUUCCUGGAGUCUUCUUUUUUGGCCCAUAAAUAGAUCUGACCGGGUUGUCCUUUUUCCGAGGAUCUUUAUGCUGAUCGUGUGCCGGUUUGUGUGCGGCGCCCCUUGUUGCUCUUGGCCUGUCAUCUGGUCGUCUAUCCGGCCAGGCAGCUUCUUUCUUUUUUGACUGCGGGGGCUCUAAGGCCUCCUUGUCAAAUUCGGGCAACAGCUUGCGCUUCGGGUAGCUCUUCGUUUGGUUACUGGCGCCAUGUUUAUCUGCGCUGUUGAGUACUUUGCUCCACCUCAUUCUGAGUGCGUCCUCCGCAGUUUUGAGCUUCCGCUUUUGCUUCUUCAAACUUCUUGCAAUGGCGACGAGCCUUUUAUGAAGAUUCGUAUGCUCUGGUGAUGUGAGAUUGUCUUCGCCGGGGAUGGGUUGCUUGUCCAGUUCAUGUCCGGCUUUUUGCUUGGUGACAUGUGCGUCGUCCACUGCUUCGCCCUGCUCUAGGGUCGGGUCUGUAUGGGUGCCGUUUUUAUCGAGGCCGGUCUUCGGGUGGCGCUUGCGUCGCCGUUUUGGUUGUUUGUUGGGGGAGUUGUCCUUCGCCACGUCCCAUUUUUCCUCAUUAUCGCUUCCUUUUGGUGUAUCCACCAUGUAUACGUCGUGAGUUGGGGUGGCUUUCCCGUGCCCGGUAGGCGCUGGUUCUUGGUCGUCUCCGGCAUCGUCGUCCAUACCGUCGAUGUCUUCGGAGUCAUAGUUUAGCAUGUCGGUUAGAUCGUCGAUAGUGGCUACUAAUUGGGUGGUGGGUGGGCUUUGAAUUUCUUCGUCGUCCGCAUCCCAACUGUCCUGGCCGCAAUCCGGCCAGGGCUCUCCUGAUAAUGAGAGAUACUUUAGCGAACUCAAGAUGUCGCCGAAAGGUGAGUGUUGAAAGAUGUCCGCUGCGGUGAACUCCAUGAUCAGCGCCCAAUCGGAUUCGAUCGGAGGGGGCGCGGGAGGUUCGGAGUCCGGCGAGGAGUCCGGCACCUCGGAGUCACGAGUUUUAUGAGGGACAAGGUCAGUGUUCGGCUCUAUCGCCGUAGAGGUUGCAGCCCCCGAGGCGGUGUCCAGCCAUCCGUCCUCGAUCUGCGCAGCCGGCUCCGAAUUGAAGAUCAGAGCGGGUUUGAGUGCGGCCUCCAGGGUACUGUCCGGCUGCAGAGCUAAAUCAUGCUCGCCGUGACAGUGCGACAUGCUCGGCUGUGGUUCGAAUCCAUCGAGGAUCAAGUCCCCGCGGAUGUCAGCCGUGAAGUUCAGGCUUCCAAACCUGACCUGACGGCCAGGGGCGUAGCUUUCGAUCUGCUCCAAAUGGCCAAGCGAAUUGGCCCGCAGUGCAAAGCCGCCGAAUACGAAGAUCUGUCCGGGGAGAAAGGUCUCACCCUGGACUGCGUCGUUGAUGAUGGUCGAAGAAGCCAUCGAGCCUAUCGGUGACGACACAGAGGAACUCUCAAUGAAAGCACCAAUGUCGGUGUCAAAACCGGCGGAUCUCGGGUAGGGGGUCCCGAACUGUGCGUCUAGGCGGAUGGUAACAGGAGACAAGGGACACGAUGUUUUACCCAGGUUUGGGCCCUCUUGAUGGAGGUAAAACCCUACGUCCUGCUUGAUUAAUAUUGAUGAUGUGUGUUACAAGAGUAGAUCUACCACGAGAUCAAGGAGGCUAAACCCUAUAAGCUAGCCUAUGGUAUGAUUGUUGUUCGUCCUAUGGACUAAAGCCAUCCGGUUUAUAUAGACACCGGAGAGGGCUAGGGUUACACAGAGUCGGUUACAAUGGUAGGAGAUCUACAUAUCCAUAUUGCCAAGCUUGCCUUCCACGCCAAGGAAAAUCCCAUCCGGACACGGGACGAAGUCUUCAAUCUUGUAUCUUCAUAGUCUUGGAGUCCGGCCGAUCAUGAUAGUUCGGCUAUUAGGACACCCCCUAGUCCGGAACUCCCUCAAUAACCAUGAAGGAAUUGGAGAUUUUGCAGACUGAAAUUUGUGCUACCUGAAUCCGGUCAAUCAAUUAUAGUUCAAAUGGAGUUAAGUUGAUGCGCGUCCAUGAUGUAUGAGAUGUAUUUGCCCAGUAUAUGUAAUUUGUUGUUUGUGUAUGCUUUAUUAACACCUGUGCCGAACCAUAAUGCCCAGUGGGUAUAAUCAGCUGUAAUUUCUUUAUUGUAUAGUGUAGGAUUAUUCUACCUUUCUAUGCCUUGAUCACUUUGUUGUAUAGUGUAUGCUUUUUAGAGGUGAUAGUAUUGAGUAGGAUAAUUAUUUGAAUAUGCUAUAUCGUUCAAACGGGGGCCAACUCGCCCGACCAUGGCCCUUCACGGGCCGUACGAUCCAUGGGUCAUGUACAUGCCGUCAGAUCCAUGGGCCUUCAAUGGGCCGUCGGACCCAUGGGCCUUCAAUGGGCCGUCGGCUCCAUGGGCCUUCAAUGGGCCGUCGGCUCCAUGGGCCUUCUACGUCUCAUAGGAUCCAUGGGCCUUCUACAUCUCGUAGGAUCCAUGGGCCUUGUAACGGCCGACUCAUUUAUGGGUAUUGUAUGGGCCUUUAAUGGGUUGUAGAUGGGCCUUUAAUGGAAAUCGUAUGUUUUAUGGGCUCACCAUAACGAGCCGUUAAUAGGCCGUAUUUGGUGAUGCUAUGAAAAUGGCCCAACAGAUUAACGGUCCACAAAUGGGCCGACUGUAACGACGGGCUGAAUUUGGCCCACAAGCAGAAAAUGACAGUAACGGGUCGUAGGUAACUGAAUGCUGCAAAUGAGCCCAAGAAUAAAUGGGCCCUCAGAAGGCCGAAAGAUAACUUGGGCUGGAAACGGCCCAAUGGAAUAACGGGCCGUUAAUGGGUAUAAAGUGAUACACUGUUCAUUACGGGCCAGUUUCACCAUGGGCCGUUUAUGGGUGUAAAGUGAUACACUAUUCAUUACGGGCCAGUUUCACCACGACCAUUAAUGGGCCAAUAAUUAUAAAGGGCCUCAUAUGGGCCGAAAGACGUCAUGGGCCAUACAUGGGCCAGAAGUGAAAACGGGCUGGAAUCAUAUUGGAUGGCCCAGAUGACGCUACUGGGCCUAAUUCGAAUAGGGCGUAACGAGCCUUGGGUUAGCGGGCUGUAAAUAGGCUAUAUGCGAAUAGGCCGUUAACAGGCUUUCCAUGGGCCAGCCCGCCACCUUCUGACCAAGUCAAACGGGCCGGCCUUUUCACAGGAGUGGGCCACUGUUGGGUCGUGCCACGUAUCGACGUAUCAUAGGCGCCUUCUGUCCAAUGAGUGGAUGACAUCUGUCCCAACGAUGAGCCGACACGUGUUUCCUCUAGCCAAUGAUGAUUUUACAUGUGGAAAAUCCCCAUUGGUCGGGGCUGUUAACGGGUUAUCGGAUCCAAAACCCGACCCGAUAGCUUAACGGUGUUCUGUUACGAUGGAUGCCACGUGCCGGUCACCCUUGACGAAAGCACUUCUAUGACGCGCGAUUUAUCGUCAUGGAAGUGGACACUUCCGUGAUGAUAAUUUUGGUAAUGUCAUGGAACACUUCUACGACAGCACAUGUAUGACUAUCUUGAUUCUGUCAUAAAAUCGUCAUGGAUGUACAUGCAUGACAAAAAACGCGACCUACUGUGACAAACAUGUAUCAUCACGGAAGUGUAUUUUUUUGUAGUGUAUGAUAAGAGAUAGACCCGGGGGCCAUAAGUUUCACUAGAGGCUUCUCUCAAGAUAACAUAAGUAUUACGGUGGGUGAACAAAUUACUGUCGAGCAAUUGAUAGAAAAGCGAAUAAUUAUGAGAUUAUCUAGGCAUGAUCAUGUAUAUAGGCAUCACGUCCAUAACAAGUAGAUCGACUCCUGCCUGCAUCUACUACUAUUACUCCACACAUCGACCGCUAUCCAGCAUGCAUCUAGAGUAUUAAGUUCAUAAGAACGGAGUAACGCAUUAAGAAAGAUGACAUGAUGUAGAGGGAUAAACUCAAGCAAUAUGAUAUAAACCCCAUCUUUUUAUCCUCGAUGGCAACAAUACAAUAUGUGCCUUGCAACCUUUUCUGUCACUAGGUAAGGACACCACAAGAUUGAACCCAAAGCUAAGCACUUCUCCCAUGGCAAGAAAGAUCAAUCUAGUAGGCCAAACCAAACCGAUAAUUCGAAGAGACUUGCAAAGAUAACUCAAUCAUACAUAAAAGAAUUUAGAGAAGAUUCAGAUAUUUCUCAUAGAUAAACUUGAUCAUAAACCCACAAUUCAUCGGAUCUCGACAAACACACCGCAAAAAGAGUUUACAUCGAAUAGAUCUCCACAAGAGAGGGGAGAACAUUGUAUUGAGAUCCAAAAAGAGAGAAGAAUCCAUCUAGCUAAUAACUAUGGACCCGAAGGUCUGUGGUAAACUACUCACAACUCAUCGGAUGGGCUAUGGUGUUGAUGUAGAAGCCCUCCGUGGUGGAUUCCCCCUCCGGCAGAACACCGGCGACGGCUCCAAGAUGGAAUCUCACGGAUACAGAAGGUUACGGUGGCGGCAAUAUUUCUUCGGUGGCUCCUUGGAUGUUUUUGGGGUAUGUAGGCUUAUAUAGGAGGAAGAAGUACGUCCGUGGCCGCACGAGGGGCCCACAAGACAGGGGGACGCACCCAGGAGGGGUGGGCGCACCCUCCUAUCUCCUGGCCGCCUCAAUUGCUUCUUUACUUGCACUCCAAGUCCUCCGGAUCACGUUUGUUCCAAAAAUCACGCUCCCGAAGGUUUCAUUCCGUUUGGACUCCGUUUGAUAUUCCUUUUCUUCGAAAUACUGAAAUAGGCAAAAAAACAACAAUACGGGCUGGGCCUCCGAUUAGUAGGUUAGUCCCAAAAAUGAUAUAAAUGUGUAAAAUAAAGCCCAUAAUCAUCCAAAAUAGGUAAUAUAAUAGCAUGGAACAAUCAAAAAUUAUAGAUACAUUAGAGACGUAUCAGGGUGCAUGACCAUAAAAGAUAUUAAUCAUAUAAAUAGAACAACCAUUAUUCUCUGAUUUAAAUGAAUAACCGUUUUGCACUAAACAAGAUCCAGAUAUAAUGUUCAUGCUCAACGCUGGCACCAAAUAACAAUUAUUUAGGUCUAAAACUAAUCCCAAAGGAAGAUGUAGAGGUAGUGUACCGAUGGAGAUCACAUCAACCUUGGAACCAUUUCCGACGCGCAUCGUCACCUCGUCCUUAACCAGUCUUUGUUUAAUCCGUAGUCCCUGAUUCGAGUUACAAAUAUGAGCAACCGAACCGGUAUCAAAUACCCAGGCACUACUAUGAGAAUUAGUAAGGUACACAUCUAUAACAUGUAUAUCAAAUAUACCUUUGCUCACUUUGCCAUCCUUCUUAUCCGCCAAAUACUUGGGGCAGUUCCGCUUCAAGUGAUCAGUUCCUUUGCAGUAGAAGCACUCACUUUUAGGCUUGGGUCCAUUUUUAGGUUUCUUCCCGGGAGUGACAACUUGCUUGUCAUUCUUCUUGAAGUUCCCCUUCUCUUUACCCUUGCCAUUCUUCUAGAAACUAGUGGUCUUGUUAAACAUCAGCACUUGAUGCUCCUUCUUGAUUUCUACCACCGCGGCCUUUACCAUCGUGAAGAGCUCGGGAGUAGUCUUUUCCAUCCCUUGCAUAUUGUAGUUCAUCACGAAGCCUUUGUAGCUUGGUGGCAGUGAUUGAAGAACUCUGUCAAUGACACAAUCAUCUGGAAGAUUAAUGAUACGUCUCCAAUGUAUCUAUAAUUUUUUAUUGUUCCAUGCUAUUAUAUUACCUGUUUCGGAUGUUUAAUGGGCUUUAUUAUGCACUUUUAUAUUAUUUUUGGGACUAAUCUAUUAACCGGAGGCCCAGUCCAAAUUGUUGUUUUUUUGCCUAUUUCAGUGUUUCGUAGAAAAGGAAUAUCAAACGGAGUCCAAACCAAAUGAAACCUUCAGGAGAGUUAUUUUUGGAACAAAUGCAAUCCAGGAGAGUUGGAGUGGACAUCAAGAAAGAAAUGAGGAGGCCACGAGGUAGGAGGGCGCUACCAGGGGGUAGGCGCCCCCCCACCCUUGUGGGCCCCUCAUGGCUCCCCUGACCGACUUCCUUCACCCAUAUAUACUCAUAUACCCUGAAAACAUCCAGGAGCACCACGAAACCCUAUUUCCACCGCCGCAACCUUCUGUACCCGUGAGAUCACAUCUUAGGGUCUUUUCCGGCGCUCCGCCGGAGGGGGAAUCGAUCAUGGAGGGCUUCUACAUCAACACCAUAGCCUCUCCGAUGAAGUGUGAGUAGUUUACCACAGACCUUUGGGUCCUUAGUUAUUAGCUAGAUGGCUUCUUCUCUCUAUUUGGAUCUCAAUACAAAGUUCUCCUCGGUCUUCUUGGAGAUCUAUUCGAUGUAAUUCUUUUUGCGGUGUGUUUGUCGAGAUCCAAUGAAUUGUGGGUUUAUGAUCAAGAUUAUCUAUGAACAAUAUUUGAAUCUCCUCUGAAUUAUUUUAUGUAUGAUUUGUUAUCUUUGCAAGUCUCUUCGAAUUAUCAGUUUGGUUUGGCCUACUAGAUUGAUAUUUCUUGCAAUGGGAGAAGUGCUUAGCUUCGGGUUCAAUCUUGUGGUGUCCUUUCCCAGUGACAGCAGGGGCUGCAAGGCGCAUAUUGUAUUGUUGCCAUCGAGGAUAAAAAAUGGGGUUUAUAUCAUAUUGCUUGAGUUUAUCCCUCUACAUCAUGUCAUCUUGCCUAAUGCGUUACUCUGUUCUUAUGAACUUAAUACUCUAGAUGCAUGCUGGAUAGCGGUCGAUGUGUGGAGUAAUAGUAGUAGAUGCAGAAUCAUUUCGAUCUACUUGUCGCGAACGUGAUGCCUAUAUACAUGAUCAUGCUUAGAUAUUCUCAUAAUUAUGCACUUUUCUAUCAAUUGCUUGACAGUAAUUUGUUCACCCACCGUAAUACUGAUGCUAUCUUGGGAGAAGCCACUAGUGAAACCUAUGGCCCUCGGGUCUAUUUUCCAUCAUAUAAGUUUCCGAUCCAUUUUUUUUGCAAUCUUUACUUUCCAAUCUAUAUCAUAAAAAUACCAAAAAUAUUUAUCUUAUUAUCUCUAUCAGAUCUCACUUUUGCGAGUGGCCGUGAAGGGAUUGACAACCUGUUUAGCACGUUGGUUGCCAGGUUCUUAUUUGUUUGUGUAGGUAUGAGGCAUUUGCGUGUAGCCUCCUACUGGAUUGCUACCUUGGUUCUCGAAAACUGAGGGAAAUACUUAUGCUACUUUGCUGCAUCACCCUUUCCUCUUCAAGGGAAAACCAAUGCAUGCGCAAGAGGUAGAAAGAAGGAUUUGUGGCGCCGUUGCCGGGGAUUCUACGCUCAAGUCAACAUACCAAGUACCCAUUGCAAACCCUUAUCCCUCGCAUUACAUUAUUUGUCAUUUGCCUCUCGUUUUCCUCUCCCCCACUUCAGCCUUGCCGUUUUAUUCGCCCUCUCUUUUCGUUCGCCCCUUUUUCGCUUGCCUCCUGUGUGCUUGUGUGUUGGAUUGUUUGUCACGGUGGCUCAAGAUAAUACUAAAUUGUGUGAUUUUUCCAAUACCAACAACAAUGAUUUUCUUAACACUCCGAUUGCUCCUCUUACCGAUGUUGAAUCUUGUGAAAUUAAUGUUGCUUUGUUGAAUCUUGUCAUAAAAGAUCAAUUCUCUGGCCUUCCUAGUGAAGAUGCCGCUACUCAUCUAAACAACUUUGUUGAUUUGUGUGAUAUGCAAAAGAAGAAAGAUGUGGAUAAUGAUAUUGUUAAAUUGAAGCUAUUUCCGUUUUCACUUAGAGAUUGUGCUAAAACUUGGUUUUCGCCUUUGCCUAAAAAUAGUAUUGAUUCAUGGAAUAAGUGCAAAGAUGCUUUUAUCUCUAAGUAUUUUCCUCCCGCUAAGAUCAUCUCUCUUAGAAACGGUAUUAUGAAUUUUAAGCAACUUGAUCAUGAACAUGUUGCACAAUCUUGGGAGAGGAUGAAAUUAAUGAUUCACAAUUGCCCUACACAUGGAUUAAUUUUAUGGAUGAUCAUACAAAAGUUUUAUGCCGGAUUGAAUUUUGCUUCUAUAAAUCUUUUAGAUUCGGCCACGGGAGGCACUUUGAUGGAAAUCACUUGAGGAGAAGCUACUAAACUCCUAUAUAAUAUUAUGGUUAAUUAUUCUCAAUGGCACAUUGAAAGAUCUACUAGUAAAAAGGUUCAUGCGGUAGAAGAGAUUAAUAUUUUGAGUGGAAAGAUGGAUGAACUUAUGAAAUUGUUUGCUAAUAAGAGUGCUCCUAUUGAUCCUAAUGAUAUGCCUUUGUCUACUUUGAUUGAGAAUAAUAAUGAAUCUAUGGAUGUGAAUUUUCUUGGUAGGAAUAAUUUUGGUAACAACACGUAUAGAGGAAGCUUUAAUCCUAGGCCGUUUCCUAGUAAUUCCUCUAAUAAUUAUGGUAAUUCCUACAACAACUCUUAUGGAAUUUUUAGUAAGAUGCCCUCUGAUUUUGAGAUUGGUGUUAAAUAAUUUAUGAUUUCUCAAAAGAAUUUCAAUGCUUUGCUUGAAGAAAAAUUGCCUAAGAUUGAUGAAUUGGCUAGGAACAUGGAUAGAAUUUCUCUUGAUGUCAAACUUAGAUCUAUUUCACCUAAGCAUGAUAUCAAUGAGUCUCUCAAAUCUAUGAAAAUUUCCAUUGAUGAGUGCAAGGAAAGAACCGCUAGAAUGCGUGUUAAGAAAGAUUGCUUUGUAAAAGAGUGUUCUUCUAGUUUUCAUGAAAAUAGGGAUGAAGAUCUAAAAGUGAUUGAUGUGUCUCCUAUUAAAUCUUUGUUUUGCAAUAUGAAUCUUUAUAAUGAUGGGAAUGGAGAUGAGUCAACUUUAGUUAAGAGGCGUCCCAAUGAUUCAGAGUUUUUAGAUCUUGAUGCAAAAAUUGGUAAAGGUGGGAUUGAAGAGGUCAAAAACUUUACAUAGCAAUGAACCCACUAUUUUGGAUUUCAAGGAAUUUAAUUAUGAUAAUUGUUCUUUAAUAGAUUAUAUUUCCUUGUUGUAAUCCGUGUUAAAUUCUCCUCAUGCUUAUAGUCAAAAUAAAGCUUUUACUAAACAUAUCGUUGAUGCCUUAAUGCAAUCUUAUGAAGAAAAACUUGAAUUAGAAGUUUCUAUACCUAGAAAACUUUAUCAUGAGUCGGAACCUACAAUUAAAAUUAAAAUUAAAGAUCAUGAAUGCUAUGGUUUGUGUGAUUUGGGUGCUAGUGUUUCCACGAUUCCAAAACUUUGUGUGAUGUGUUAGGUUUUCGUGAAAUUGAUGAUUGCUCUUUAAACUAGCACCUUGUGGAUUCCACCAUUAAGAAACCUAUGGGAAGGAUUAAUGAUGUUAUUAUUGUUGCAAAUAGGAAUUAUGUGCCCGUAGAUUUUAUUGUUCUUGAUAUAGAUUGCAAUCCUUCAUGUUAUAUUAUUUUUGGUAGACCUUUCCUUAGAACAAUUGGUGCAAUUAUUGAUAUGAAAGAAGGAAAUAUUAGAUUCCAAUUUCCGUUAAGGAAGGGCAUGGAACACUUUCCUAGGAAGAAAAUUAAAUUACCUUAUGAAUCUAUUAUGAGAGCCACCUAUGAAUUGAAUACCAAAGAUGGCAAUACUUAGAUCUAUUCUCGCUUUUAUGCCUAGCUAGGGGCGUUAAACGAUAGCACUUGUUGGGAGGCAACCCAAUUUUAUUUUUGUUCCUUGCUUUUUGUUCCUGUUUAGUAAUAAAUAAUUCAUCUAGCCUCUGGUUAGAUGUGGUUUUGUGUUUUAAUUAGUGUUUUUUCCAAGUAAAACCUUUAGGAUAACCUACGGUGAUAAUUAACUUGAUCUUGCUGAAAAAUAAAAACUUUUGCACACACGAGAAUGAUUUUCAUAAAUCACAUAAACGUGCUUUUAAGUUGAUUAUUUUUGCAAAUAUUAAUAGACAAAUUACCUAGGACUUCCUAAUUUGGUAGAAUUUGUGAGGUUCCAUAAGUAUUCAAAAGUUACAGAUUGCUACAGACUGUUUUGUUUUUGACAGAUUCUGUUUUUCGUGUGUUGUUUGCUGAUUUUGAUGAAUCUAUGGCUAGUAUCAGGGGUAUGAACCAUAGAGAAGUUGGAAUACAGUAGGUUUAGCACCAAUAUAAAUAAAGAAUGAGUUCAUUACAGUACCUUAAAGUGGUGGUUUGUUUUCUUGUACUAACGGAGCUCAUGAGAUUUUUUGUUGAGUUUUGUGUUGUGAAGUUUUCAAGUUUUUGGGUAAAGAUUUGAUGGUUUAUGGAAUAAGAAGUGGCAAGAGCCUAAGCUUGGGGAUGCCCAAGUCACCCCAAGGUAAAAUUCAAGGACAACCAAAAGCCUAAGCUUGGGGAUGCCCCGGAAGGCAUCCCCUCUUUCGUCUUCGUCCAUCGAUAACUUUACUUGAUGCUAUAUUUUUAUUCACCACAUGAUAUGUAUUUUGCUUGGAGCGUCUUGUAUGAUUUGAGUCUUUGAUUUUUAGUGUACCACAAUCAUCCUUGCUGUACACACCUUUUGGAGAGACACACAUGAAUCAGAAUUUAUUAGAAUACUCUAUGUGCUUCACUUAUAUCUUUUCAGCUAGAUAAUUUUGCUCUAGUGCUUCACUUAUAUAUUUUUAGAGCACGGUGGUGGUUUUAUUUUAUAGAAAUUAUUGAUCUCUCAUGCUUCACUUAUAUUAUUUUGAGAGUCUUUUAGAACAACAUGGUAAUUUGCUUUGGUUAUAAAAUUGGUCCUAAUAUGAUGAGCAUCCAAGAUAGGUAUAAUAAAAACUAUCAUAUAGAGUGCAUUAAACACUAUGAUAAAUUUGAUACUUGAUAAUUUUUUUGAGAUAUAAAGGUGGUAAUGUUAGAGUCAUGCUAGUUGGGUAAUUAUGAAAUUGAGAAAUACUUGUGUUAAAGUUGGCAAGUCCCGUAACAUGCACGUAUGGUGAACAUUGUGUGAUAAAUUUGAAGCAUGGGGUGUUCUUUGAUUGCCUUCCUUAUGAGUGGAGGUCAGGAUCGCGCGAUGGUUAACUCCUACCAGCCCUUCCCCUAGGAGCAUGCGUAGUAGUACUUUGCUUCGAGGGCUAAUAAACUUUUGCAAUAAGUAUAUGAGUUCUUUAUGACUAAUGUGAGUCCAUGUAUUAUACACACUCUUACCCUUCAGCAAUUUGCUAGCCUCUACGGUACUGUGCAUUACCCUUUCUCACCUUGAGAGUUGGUGCAAACUUCGCCGGUGCAUCCAAACCCCGUGAUAUGAUACGCUCUAUCACACAUAAACCUCCUUAUAUCUUCCUCAAAACAGCCACCAUACCUACCUAUUAUGGCAUUUCCAUAGCCAUUCCGAGAUAUAUUGCCAUGCAACUUUCCACCGUUCUGUUUAUUAUGACACGCUCCAUCAUCGUCAUAUUGCUUUGCAUGAUCAUGUAGUUGACAUCGUAUUUGUGGCCAAGCCACCUUUAAAAAAAUUUCAUACAUGUUAUUCUUGAUUCAUUGCAUAUCCCGGUACACCGCCAGAGGCAUUCACGUAGAGUCAUAUUUUGUCCUAAGUAUUGAGUUGUAAUUCUUGAGUUGUAAAUAAAUAGAAGUGUGAUGAUUUCCAUUAUUAGAGAAUUGUCCCAUGUGAGGAAAGGAUGAUGGAGACUAUGAUUCCCCCACAAGUUGGGAUGAGACUCCGGACUUUAUGAAAAAUAAAAGAGGCCAAAGAAGCCCAAAUAAAAAAAAGAGGCCAAAGAAUCCCAUAAAAAAAGAAAAAAAAUGAGACAAAAAUAGAGAAGGGACAAUGUUACUAUCCUUUUACCACAUUUGUGCUUCAAAGUAGCACCAUGAUCUUCAUGAUAGAGAGUCUCCUAUGUUGUCACUUUCAUAUACUAGUGGGAAUUUUUCAUUAUGGAACUUGGCUUAUAUAUUCCAAUGAUGGGCUUCCUCAAAUUGCCCUAGGUCUUCGUGAGCAAGCAAGUUGGAUGCACACCCACUUAGUUUCUUUUUGAUGAGCUUUCAUACAUUUAUAGAUCUAGUGCAUCCGUUGCAUGGCAAUCCCUACUCCUCGUAUUGACAUCAAUUGAUGGGCAUCUCCAUAGCCCGUUUAUUAGCCGCGUUAAUAUGAGACUUUCUCCCUUUUUGUUUUCUCACAUAAUCCCUAUCAUCAUCCUCUACUCCACCCAUAGUGAUAUGUCCAUCGCUUACGCUCAGGUAUUGCGUGAGGGUUGAAAAGGUUGAAGCGAGUUAAAAAGUAUGAACCAAUUGCUUGGUUGAAACCGGGGUUGUGCAUGAUGGGAGCAUUUUGUGUGACGAAAAUGAAGCAUGGCCAAAAUAUAUGAUUUUGUAGGGGUAAGCUUUCUUUGGCUAAGUUAUUUUGAUAAGACAUAAACUGCUUGGUUAGCAUGCUUGAAGUAUUACUAUUUUUAUGUCAAUAUUAAACUUUUAUCUUGAAUCUUUUGGAUCUGAACAUUAAUGCCACAAUAAAGAAAAUUACAUUGAGAAUUAUGCUAGGUAGCAUUCCAUAUCAAAAAUUUUGUUUUUAUCAUUUACCUACUCAAGCACGAGCAGGAAUUAAGCUUGGGGAUGCUUGAUACGUCUCCAAUGUAUCUAUAAUUUUUUAUUGUUCCAUGCUAUUAUAUUACCUGUUUUGGAUGUUUAAUCGGCUUUAUUAUGCACUUUUAUAUUAUUUUUGGGACUAACCUAUUAACCGGAGGCCCAGUCCAAAUUGAUGUUUUUUUGCCUAUUUCAGUGUUUCGUAGAAAAGGAAUAUCAAACGGAGUCCAAAUGGAAUGAAACCUUUGGGAGAGUUAUUUUUGGAACAAACGCAAUCCAGGAGACUUGGAGUGGACGUCAAGAAAGAAACGAGGAGGCCACAGGCAGGAGGGCGCGCCUAGGGGGCUAGGCGCGCCCCACCCUCGUGGGUCCCUCGUGGCUCCCCUGACCGAAUUCCUUCGCAUAUAUAUACUCAUAUACCCCGAAAACAUCCAGGAGCACCACGAAACCCUAUUUCCACCACCGCAACCUUCUGUACCUGUGAGAUCCCAUCUUGGGGCCUUUUCCAGCGCUCCACCAGAGGGGGAAUCGAUCAUGGAGGGCUUCUACAUCAACACCAUAGCCUCUCCGAUGAAGUGUGAGUAGUUUACCACAAACCUUCGGGUCCAUAGUUAUUAGCUAGAUGGCUUCUCUCUCUUUGAAUCUCAAUACAAAGUUAUCCUCGAUCUUCUUGGAGAUCUAUUCGAUGUAAUUCUUUUUGCGGUGUGUUUGUCGAGAUCCGAUGAAUUGUGGGUUUAUGAUCAAGAUUAUCUAUGAGCAAUAUUUGAAUCUCCUCUGAAUUCUUUUAUGUAUGAUUUGUUAUCUUUGCAAGUCUCUUCGAAUUAUCAGUUUGGUUUGGCCUACUAGAUUGAUCUUUCUUGCAAUGGGAGAAGUGCUUAGCUUUGGGUUCAAUCUUGCGGUGUUCUUUCCCAGUGAUAUCAGGGGCAGCAAGGCAUGUAUUGUAUUGUUGCCAUCGAGGAUAAAAAGAUGGGGUUUAUAUCAUAUUGCUUGAGUUUAUCCCUCUAUAUCAUGUCAUCUUGCCUAAUGUGUUACUCUAUUCUUAUGAACUUAAUACUCUAGAUGCAUGCUGGAUAGCGGUCGAUGUGUGGAGUAAUAGUAGUAGAUGCAGAAUCGUUUCGAUCUACUUGUCGCAGAUGUGAUACCUAUAUACAUGAUUAUGUCUAGAUAUUCUCAUAAUUAUGCACUUUUCUAUCGAUUGCUCGACAGUAAUUUGUUCACCCACCGUAAUACUUAUGCUAUCUUGAGAGAAGCCACUAGUGAAACCUAUGGCCCCCAGAUCUAUUUUCCAUCAUAUAAGUUUCUGAUCUAUUUUAUUUUGCAAUCUUUACUUUCCAAUCUAUAUCAUAAAAAUACCAAAAAUAUUUAUCUUAUUAUCUCUAUCAGAUCUGACUUUUGCAAGUGGCCGUGAAGGGAUUGACAACCCCUUUAGCGCAUUGGUUGCUAGGUUCUUAUUUGUUUGUGUAGGUACGAGUGAUUUGCGUGUAGCCUCCCACAGGAUUGAUACCUUGGUUCUCAAAAACUGAGGGAAAUACUUACGCUACUUUGCUGCAUCACCCUUUCCUCUUCAUGGGAAAACCAACGCAUGCUCAAGAGGUAGCAAUUAACUCCCAGCCGAGUCAAGUGAUUAUGGUACCCAGACAUUCUGAGUAUGUGCUCACUAACAGAACUUAUCUCCUCCAUCUUGCAGCUAUAAAACUUGUUGGAGACUUCAUAUCUCUCAACUCGGGCAUUUGCUUGAAAUAUCAACUUCAACUACUGGAACAUCUUAUAUGGUCCAUGACGUUCAAAACGUCUUUGAAGUCCCGAUUCUAAGACGUAAAUCAUGGCACACUGAACUAACAAGUAGUCAUCAGAUCGAGCCUGCCACGCGUUCACAACGUCAGCUUCUGCUCCUGCAGCAGGCCUUGCACCUAGCGGUGCAUCAAGGACAUAAUUCUUCUGUGCGGCAAUGAGGAUAAUCCUCGAGUUAUGGACCCAGUCUGUGUAGUUGCUACCAUCAUAUUUCAACUUAGCUUUCUCUAGGAACACAUUAAAAUUCAAAGGAACGGUAGCACGGGCCAUUGAUCUACAACAUGGAUAUGCAAAAAACUAUCAGGACUAAGUUCAUGAUAAAUUAAGUUCAAUUAAUCAUAUUACUUAAGAACUCCCACUUAGAUAGACAUCCCUCUAGCCAUCUAAAUGAUACGUGAUCCAAAUCAACUAAACCAUGUCCGAUGGAGUAGUCAUCAAUGGUGAACAUCACUAUGUUGAUCAUAUCUACUAUAUGAUUCAAGUUCGGCCUUUCGGUCUCCAGUGUUCCGAGGCCAUAUCUGUAUAUGCUAGGCUCGUCAAGUUUAACCCGAGUAUUCUGUGUGUGCAAAUUUGGCUUGCACCCGUUUUAUUUGAACGUAGAGUUUAUCACACCCGAUCAUCACAUGGUGUCUCAGCACGAAGAAAUUUCGCAACGGUGCAUACUCGGGGAGAACACUUAUACCUUGAAAUUUUAGUGAGGGAUCAUCUUAUAAUGCUACCAUCGUACUAAGCAAAAUAAGAUGCAUUAAAGAUAAACAUCACAUGCAAUCAAAAUAUGUGACAUGAUAUGGCCAUCAUCAUCUUGUGCUUUUGAUCUACAUCAUCGAAGCAACGUCAUGAUCUCCAUCGUCACCGGCUUGACACCUUGAUCUCCAUCAUAGUGCCGUGGUCGACUGGUCGUCUCACCAACCAUUGCUUCUACGACUAUCGCUGCCGCUUAGUGAUAAAGUAAAGCAAUUACAUAGCGCUUGUAUUUCAUACAAUAAAGCGACAACCAUAUGGCUCCUGCCAGUUGUCGAUAACUUCUACAAAACAUGAUCAUCUCAUACAACAAUCUUUAUAUCACAUCAUGUCUUGACCAUAUCACAUCACAACAUGCCCUGCAAAAACAAGUUAGACGUCCUCUACUUUGUUUGUUGCAAGUUUUACGUGGCUGCUAUGGGCUUCUAGCAUGAACCAUACAUACUUACGGCACAAAAACCACAACGGUGAUUUAUCAAGUUUGCUGUUUUAACCUUCACAAGGACCGGCCGCAGUCAAAUUCGAUUCAACUAAAGUUGGAGAAACAGACACCCGCCAGCCACCUUUAUGCAAAACUAGUUGCAUGUCUGUCGGUGGAACCGGUCUCAUGAACGCGGUCAUGCAAGGUUGGUCCGGGCUGCUUCAUCCAACAAUACCGCCAAAUCAAAAUAACACAUUGGUGGUAAGCAAUAUGAAAAUCACCGCCCACAACUCUUUGUGUUCUAGUCGUGCAUAUCAUCUACGCAUAGACCUGGCUCGAAUGUCACGGUUGGGAAACGUAGCAUGCAAUUUCAAAAAAAUUCCUACGCUCACGCAAGAUCUAUCUAGGAGAUGCAUAGCAACGAGAGGGGGAUAUUGUGUCCACGUACCCUCGUAGAUCGAAAGUGGAAGUGUUAACUUAACGCGGUUGAUGUAGUCAAACGUCUUCUCAAAUCAACCGAUCAAGUACCGAACGUAUGACACCUCCGAGUUCUGCACAUGUUCAACUCGAUGACGUCCCUCAAACUCUUGAUCCAGUAGAGUCACAAAGGAGUCAAUGAUUUACAUCAACACGACGGCGUGAUGACGGUGUUGCAUGUGAUCCGCGCAGGGCUUCUCCUAAGCACUACGAUAAUAUGACCGGAGGACUAAACGAUGGAGGGGGGCACCACACACGGCUAAACAAUUGAUGUGCUUUGGGGUGCCCCCCUGCCCCCGUAUAUAAAGGAGGAGGGGAGGAGUCCGGCCACAAGGGGUGUGCCAAGGAGGGGGAGUCUCACUAGGAUUCCUAGUCCUAGUAGGAUUCACCCCCCCUCUUUUCCUUCUCAUGGAGGGGGAAAAGGGAGAGGGAAGAGGAGAAGGAAAGGGGGGGCUCCCCUAGUCUAAUUCGGACUCCCCAUGGGUGGGGGGUGCGGCUUCCCCUUGUGGGCUGCCUCCCCUCUCCCCUAUGGCCCAUGUAGGCCUAACAAUUCUCCGGGGGGGGGGGGUCCGGUAACCUCCCGGUACUCCGAAAAAUACCCGAACCUUUUCGAAACCAUCCCGGUGUCCGAAUAUCAUCGUCCAAUAUAUCAAUCUUUAUCGCUCGACCAUUUCGAGACUCCUCGUCAUGUCCGUGAUCUGAUCUGGGACUCCGAACUACCUUCAGUCACCAAAACACAUAACUCAUGUAAUACAUAUUGUCAUUGAACGUUAAGCGUGCGGACCCUACGGGUUUGAGAACUAUGUAGACAUGACCGAGACACCUCUCCGGUCAAUAACCAAUAGCGGAACCUGGAUGCUCAUAUUGGUUCCCACAUAUUCUCCGAAGAUCUUUAUCGGUCGAACCGCAAUGUCAACAUAUGUUAUUCCCUUUGUCAUCAGUAUGUUACUUGCCCGAGAUUCGAUCAUCGGUAUCUUCAUACCUAGUUCAAUCUCAUUACCGGCAAGUCUCUUUACUCGUUCCGUAGUGCAUCAUCCCGUAACUAACUCAUUAGUCACAUUGCUUGCAAGCUCUUCAUAUGGUAUGCAUUACCGAGAGGGCCCAGAGAUACCUCUCCGAUACUUGGAGUGACAAAUCCUAAUCUCGAUCUAUGCCAACCCAACAGACACCUUCGGAGAUACCUGUAGAGCAUCUUUAUAGUCACCCAGUUAUGUUGUGAUGUUUGAUAGCACAUAAGGCAUUCCUCCGGUGUCCGAGAGUUGCAUAAUCUCAUAGUCGGAGGAAUAUAUAUUUGACACGAAGAAAGGAGUACCGAUAAAACUGAACGAUCAUUAUGCUAAGCUAACGGAUGGGUCUUAUCCAUCACAUCAUUCCACUAAUGAUGUGAUCCCGUUUAUCAAAUGAAAACUCAUGCCCAUGGCUAGGAAACUUAACCAUCUUUGAUCAACGAGCUAGUCUAGUAGAAGCAUACUAGGGACACAUAGUUUUGUCUAUGUAUUCACACAUGUAUUAAGUUUCUGGUUAAUUCAAUAAUAAUCAUUUAUCAUGAAUAAGGAAACAUAAAAUAACAACUUUAUUAUUGCCUCUAGGGCAUAUUUCCUUCACUAUCCACCUGCAUCUAUCAAUCUCAUAUGAAAAUAAUUGCAAUGUUGGUAGAAAGGGACACCCUACCGUGUAUUGAACAAUGCAUACCUUGUUACCCAGUUGAGUACAGUAGAUGGUCUUUUUCACACUAAAUGUCCGAAAUUGAGCACAUCGUGAAAUUUUGAUGAGCAAAUUUUUUUUUCUACCAGCGCCGAGCGAAACCAUUUUUGCAUCAGUUGUUAUAGCAUACGUUAAGAGAUUUUUGACAACCAAACACGGUCCAACCCAGUUCUGCUAGGUAGCAUGUGGUACUCUAUAGUAUUGUUGAUACACAAUGUUUUAGGAUAAUCCGAUCCUUUCUAAUAUGGUUAUCAUAUUUAUCGAUAAAAUAUAAAUUAUGGACUUACAACAUGUUAACAGAACAUUUUUAUGAGAUGAUUUGAUGGUUGCUAUUGUUUAAUUAUGAAAUUUUAAUACUACAUCCAAUCCAAAAUAAGUGUCGUGGUUUUGAACUAAGGUUAGUUCAAGCUUGGUUCAAAACUACUACACUUAUUUUGGAUCGGAGGGAGUGCCUUUUAGUGUCUUAUGUUUGCUGAUUAUGCUUAUGUAAAAAUAUGUGCUCAUCGAUAUGUGUAAGUCAGUCUUCAUAUCAAUUUCACAUAUUGGUCUAUAGUUUUCUAUACCACAUGAUUUUGUAGUUAAUAACAUUUGUUUGUCUAUGCACAUGUUGCACUAGUGCAAAAACAACAUCGUUGAUGGUUUACGGAAGGACCAUCAUUGGUACCAAUGACAAUGGUGGCCGCAGAAAUUGACGGUUAGUGGUAAGUUCAAAAGCAAACCAACAUCUGAUGAAAAAUUCAUCAAAAGUUAGAUGGUCAUUGCUGAUCUUAUUACCACUCCAGAUUUGAUAUGAAUGACAUGGCUAAUUUAUUUUGUCUAUAUUAUUAUGCAUACUAAUGACGAGCCUAAUCUUGGUUGGCCAAUGGUGGCAAAGAGGCCCAAAACAGAAUCCCUAACUCCACAUAUCAAUGUUUCUCUUACUGCACUCCUUUUUCUCCCCACCGCCAUACUCCUCUCAUGUUUGGUAUCGACCCCAUGACUCCUCUAUCGCUCUUGAUUUCUUCUCCUUCUCCUAAUAGGGUUUCCCCCACCACCACUGGCCUCCCCACCUUACACUACCGUCACCUCCUUGUCGUCUUUUGCUCCCCGCCUCCUCAUUUUUCUCCGCUGGAGCCACCUGUCUCUUCUCUGUCCACUACCGAGGAGGAGGAUAUGUUUGUCGAGGAGUUGGACAAAGAGGUAUGAUGGAGGCUGGUGAGAGAGGAGGCGAAGAUGAGACCUUCCAAGGCCAAGGAUGUUGUGGUUGUCAACUACGAUCCAGAGUUCGUUGCGAGCCCAUUCGUCUGGUGGUGGAAACUAUUGGAUAUAUGCCUUAGAGGCAAUAAUAAUUUGGUUAUUAUCAUAUUUCUCGUUCAUAAUAAAUGUUUAUUAUUCAUGCUAGAAUUGUAUUGUCUGGAAACUUAAAUACAUGUGUGGGUAUAUAAACUACACCCCUAGUAAGCCUCUACUAGACUAGCUCGUUGAUCAAAGAUGGUUAUGGUUUCCUAACCAUAGACAUGAGUUGUCAUUUGAUAAUUGGAUCACAUCAUUAGGAUAAUGAUGUGAUGGACAAGACCCAACUGUAAGCUUAGCAUAUGAUCGUAUCACCUUAGUUCUUGCUACGGAUUUCUUGAUGUCAAGUAUCAGUUCCUUACACCAUGAGAUCAUGCCACUCCCAGAUACCGGAGGAAUACUUUUUUCUAUCAAACGUCACUUCGUAACUGGGUGAUCAUAAAGGUGCUCUACAGGUAUCUCUGAAGGUGUCUGUUGGGUUGGCAUGGAUCGAGACUGAAAUUUGUCACUCCGUAUGACGAAGAGAUAUCUCUGGGCCCUCUCGGUAAUACAACAUCGUUAAGGGGAAAAGAGUCCUAAGGGGAUAAUACAGAUCUGCCGGAGACAGACCUCCACACGCCCACCGAUGAUGUAGUGUCAAAAAAACGCCUUACAUUAUGGAAUGUAGGGAGUAUUUGUGUACUUCUGGUGCUUGAUACUUGGACUUUAAUAAUACAGAUUUGCCAAUAUAUGGUUGUGUGCAUAGAAAAAACCCCGACAGGGGAAGUUUGUUCCAGUGCCCUGUCAUGGGGAUUGGGCACUUGUCACGCAAUGCCAUACACCCGGUAUCUUUUUUUAGGGUAACACAUACCGCUUUAUUUCAGAACAGUCUGGGAUCUUAUCAAAGACCACAUCUAACACAAAAUCUGGAGGCACCAUUAGCCUAACCUUACAUAACUCUUCUCAUGUCCGUACCUUAGCUAACUUGUGUGGGGUGUUAUUAGCAGCCCUCAUACCCAUGACAGUUUCACAUCGUUGAACCAAGAGGUAAAUACACUAGAAGUCUUAGAACUUGCGUGUGACGGUCAGUUUGAUACACAAACUUGCAAAAUACGUGUUUCUGGUCAUCUAACUUAUGCGGACGUGCAAAUACGGUCACAUUAUCCGUACGUGGGUAUAUUCGCUGCCUACAUGGCACACCAACAUGGCCAGGGCCGAUGUUUUUUUUUUCAAAAACACCCUCAAUUUUCCACUUUGUACAAAAGCACUCCAACAAUAGUUGUCGCCGGGUCCCACUAUCGGUGUAAAGUUGUAAAUAUAUUGGGCCCAUUGUCAGUGGCUAGUGCACGUGAUGUUUUUUUUCUAGAAACACGCUCAUUUUUUUACUUUGUACAAAAGCACUCCAACAAUAGUUGUCCACUGGGUCCUACGGCAGUGUAAAUUGUAAAUAUAUUAGGCUGGAAAAAAUGGGACGGGCGAGUUCUAACCAACGACCUAUUGUAAUGGAACCUAUCCACCACAGCUGAUUGUACUUGGUAUUUCAUUUCGACUACUAAGGUAUGUCACCUCCAAAAUAGAAGUGCACAUUCUGAAUAUAUUUUCAUUUCUCUAGAGUUUCAAAUUUACAGUUAUUCAGAUUCAAACAAAUUUUCAGAUGAAUUGUUUGAAAUAAAAUUACGUACAUUCAUUCUGCGCUAUAUUUUCUUUUGUCUAGAUUUUUUAAUCUAAAAUUAUUUGAAUUCAAAUAAAAUUUAUUUAUUUAUUCCGUAAAAAAUAUACAUGCAUUCAUUCUGACCUAUGUUUUCUUUUACCUAUAUUUUCCAAUUUAAAAUUAUUUGAAUUUGAACAAAAUUUCCGUUGACCUGUUUGAAAGAAACUUAAGUACAUUCAUUAUGAACUAUAUUUAUUUUAUGUAGAUUAUUAAAAUUCAAAUAAAAAUUAGUUGAUUUGUCCGAAAAAAAUUACGUACAUUCAUUCUGACCCAUAUUUUAUUUUAUCUAGAUUUUCAAAUUUAAAACUAUUCAAAUUCAAGCAAAUUUUUGUUGAUUUGUCCCCAAAAAAUACGUACAUUCAUUGGGCACUAUAUUUCCUUUUAUCGUUAUUUUCAAAUUUUAAAUUAUUUGAAUUCAAACAAAAAAUUAGAUGAUUUGUCCAAAAUACUAUAUUCCCUUUUCUCGUUUGGUUUCUACUUUAACUCGUACGGUUUAUCUUAUAUAACGCUAAUUGUGCUCUAUAAACGUCAACAGUAAGGAGGUCAAGUGGCUAUUUAAGCGAGGCGAAUCAUAGCAGGUCAUGUGUUUGAAUCCUGUUGCCGCUCUAGCACUUUUCAUUUUAUUUAAGGAUUUUCAGCAUAAAUAAAUAAAAUGCAAGGGUGCUUUUAAAAAAAACAAUGCAUGCGGAUUACCCACUGCAUCAGCCACUGACAAUGGGCCCAUGCCACAUUGGCAAGCCAAGCGUGCACAUGAUACGGUAGAAAGCACCGUAUAUGAACGGAAAGACAAGUUAGAUGACCAGAAACAUGUAUUUUACAAAUUUAUGCACCAAAUUGAUCGUCACGUGCAAGUUUUGUGACUUGUGGUGUAUUUACCUCUUGAACCAACUAAGCAUCCGCUUGAUCUCCUCUACUAGCAGCUGUGAAGGUGACGUAGUCCCAGCGUAUUACGAGCCUGUAGAACCGCCCCCUCGAAGGGUCACGUCGAAGCGGCACCACGCUCGCGCCACAGGCGUAGCACCCACGAUUUGCCGCUGGAGCAGUAUCGCCGAGGUCCAUGUACGUACUAUCGGCACAUCAAUCCCAUCCAGAAACCAGAGUCUCACUCGCAAACCCAGCGGUCCGCAGGGCGCGCGCGCACACGCACAGACACGGUGGACCGGUGGCCAGUCUACACGCCGGACAAGUGACGGCAUCACCGCGUGCGCCGGACGGCGGCUAGACGUGGUGAGGUACGUACGAAAUACCCCCGUUUGGUUUCUCUCCGUGUGCCGCUAGCUCGGCCUCCCAUCCAUCUGCAAGCCGUGCAGUGCGUAAUGGAGCCACUGCUCCACGCCUCCCUCGGUGGCAAUACGUACGUAGUCGCAGGCCGAGCCACAGGCGCGUAGCACCACCACGCCAGCCUCCCUCACCUCUGCUCAGCUGCCCGGUGGCCAGUGGGGAUCAAGCCAGCCGUAAAAAAGAGGCAAAGCAAAGCAAGGGCGAGAGAGAGAGAGGGUUUUUGUUUUUUUUAGUUUUUUUUGGGGGUUUGGGUUGGGUUGGGGCACGGAGCGCCUGCGCGAAUGAGGAAUCAUGGCUGAUGCCUGAUGGCUUCCGCCCUCGAAAGGUCGGCAUCUUUAUCCCAUUCCCAUUGUUGGCAAGGGAGGGGAGCGAGAAGAAGCAGCAAAAGGCGCACACCGUAUGUAGUAGUAUGUAUCAUUGCCCUCUACUCACUCUACUACUGCCCCGCCCAGGCCCAUCCUACAUCCUACUACACCUCACUCUACACCGUACCGCCACCACCGCGUCCGCGGCCCGGGAGGUAGGGCUCCUCCGCGCGUGCUCCCGGGCCUGCCUCUGCCUGCCUAGCACCAGUGCACCACACCCUCCACUCCACCGCUUUGCUUUGCAUCGCCUCGCCUCGCCUUUAUCAGAGGCAGAGCGCCCCCAGCCCCAGCCCCUCCUCUUAUUACGCUCGCUCCGGCACUUGCACUUGCCCGGCCCGUCCGUGCCUUCCUCCUCGGAGACAUUGUUGGCGCUCUGCUUCUGCGGGACAAGGUAGGUUCUCCACCUCUCCUUCUCCCCCCCAUUUCUCCGAUUACCUCCUAUCGACUCUCCACCGGUUAGUGCUAGCUUCCAAUGCCGCCGGCGACCUAUGCUUCGGCUCUUGGAAAUGGAGUCGGAAGUCUGCGGCGUUCUCCACACGGGCUCACCGCACCUGCUGCAUGGGGUUUCGUCGUCUUCUCACUCUUGUGAAAUGCCUCACACCCCACGCCUCGCCUCGCCUCGCCUGCUUAAAGGACUAGUUCUAGCAGUGAUCCUAUAGGAUAGGAAGGGUGGGGCGUUCCCCUUGUUCGACCCCACCCCACGCCACGCCAUGCUCCAGGCCGCCGCGAGCUCGCUUCCCAGGAGACGGCAUUCCGUCGAGCACCUAAGCUCUACUAGUAUGUAUAGCAAGAUUCCCGGCGCCAUUUUGCUCUGCGCCUAGCUCCAGCCCCUGUCGGCUCUCGGCUCUCGCGUCGCGUGAAAACACAAAAGCCGCCUUCCCUUCUUUCUCGGGAAAGUGGGGCAGGGGCGGGUUUUCAGCCAGCCAUGCGGACCCAACCCGAGCUCUCACUCUAGCUUCCUGCUACUGCUACUAGCUCGCCAUUCCGAACGCAUUUUUUUGGGGCCUUCUUGCAUACAUACUCCUGCCUGCCUGCUUGCUUGCUUGCUUGCUCACACACACUGAACUGACAGGCAUCCUCUGCUUCUCUUGCGACGACCUGCAGGCACUCUGAUCUCCGAGAAUCUGUGAUUGAUUGAUUGAUCAAUGGCGAAGUCUGGCUAUUAAGCUGCUCGUUUGCCAGUCGGUGCACCCAGCUCAAGCUCGAGCUCGAUUCAGCAGCGACUCUUUAGCUUGGAUUUGGUCGGGGGAGAUACAUGGCGGCGGCCUCGCAGGAGAAGCAGCAGCAGCAGCUGCCGGCGUUCGGCGUGCUGAGGAACGCGGCGGCGCUGCUCGACGAAAUGCAGCUCAUGGGGGAGGCGCAGGGCGCCAAGAAGGUGAUCAACUCGGAGCUCUGGCACGCCUGCGCCGGCCCGCUCGUCUGCCUGCCGCAGCGCGGGAGCCUCGUCUACUACUUCCCCCAGGGCCACAGCGAGCAGGUCCGUCUGAAUCCUUCUACUGCAUCAACAGUCCUGCUCUGCUCUCAACUGUUUUAGAUCACCUGAUGACUUCAUGCAUGGAUUGCUCAAGUUUUUCUUGAUCUGCCAGGUCGCGGCCACCACCAAGAAGACACCCAACUCUCGGAUCCCGAACUACCCGAGCCUGCCGUCGCAGCUGCUGUGCCAAGUCCACAACAUCACCAUGCAUGUAAGUUUAUAUUGUUCAUCUUCAGGUUCAGGUCAGGUGUAGGGUUCAUCUUCAGGUUCAGCUGCCUAUGCAGCCUGAUGAAUGCUUGUAUUUUGCACAGGCCGACAAGGACACUGACGAGGUCUACGCGCAGAUGACUCUUCAACCAGUGAACUCUGUAAGUACUGUCGGAAAUGGAGCUUGGUGAAAAAUUCAGAACAUGCUGAACUGUAUUUUCUCUACAGUGUUCACUGAAAGUGUAAAACUGUCACACCUGAUUCGAAGAUCCUGUCAAUUUCAGGAAACCGACGUGUUCCCGAUCCCGUCUCUCGGAAGCUAUGCCAAGAGCAAGCAUCCAGCCGAGUAUUUCUGCAAGAAUUUGACAGCGAGCGAUACGAGCACGCACGGCGGUUUCUCGGUGCCGCGAAGAGCCGCCGAGAAGCUGUUCCCACAGCUGGUAUACAUCAGCAUCUUGUCCACAUUUUCAUUUACCUACUUGGUUAUUCAUUGUGAAUGCUUCAGCUCAUGCAUAGGUUAUGUCUUUGGACUUGCAGGAUUACUCGAUGCAACCUCCGAACCAGGAGCUUAUCGUGCGAGAUUUGCAUGAUAACAUGUGGACGUUUCGUCACAUUUAUCGUGGUAGGGUCGAAUGCUGUUUGACCUGCUUUUAACUUGUUCAUUCAUUCAAGGGUAUAUAAUUUGGGUGUCCUGGGUCACUGUCUUCUAAAAGUUUCUUCAUUUGGUGCUUCUUGCAGGGCAGCCGAAGCGACAUCUUCUAACGACUGGAUGGAGCCUCUUUGUCGGCGCAAAACGGCUUAAAGCAGGGGAUUCUGUCUUAUUUAUCAGGUAUAUGCAUGGACCCAACUUGUAUGAUACACUAGUAUGAAUAUUUUUGGGAUCUUAACCAAAUGCAUCUUGCACUACUGCAUCUGAAAAGGUUCAGACUAUGGUAUUGGUGUGAACUCUUAAUUAUUGGAUGGAAUGAACCAUAUGGAUUAUGGAGACAGUUCCUGCAUUGAACUGCCAUCAUAUUUAGGGGCUACAAUGUUGGUUAAAGUGUAGAAUCAAUCUCAAAUUAUGUGCAUGUUAUUAAGAUGUAACAAAUGUACUAUAUUAAUCGAUUACUUAUUGGUCUUUCUACUAUCUGUUUACAGACAUUUCCAACUUGCUGAAUUCAAUUUUUUCAUGCAGCCGUAGCUGUACUGAACUUACACAUUUAAGCUACCCUGAUUAGUGCUAUGAUGCUAUGUGGCAGACACCAAACCUUUACUCAACCAGACUGGGAACAACUUAUAUUACCUAAAGGAUUUCCACUCGGUGAAUUUGUGAGAACCGAACGUCCAUUCCUGACAAAAGUUACUGGUUUCAGGGAUGAGAAGUCACAACUACUUGUCGGUGUUAGGCGUGCCACCAAUCAGCAAACAGCAUUGUCAUCUUCGGUUCUGUCCACUGAUAGCAUGCACAUCGGUGUUCUGGCUGCUGCAGCUCAUGCUGCAUCAAGUGGUAGUUCAUUUACCAUUUACUACAAUCCUAGGUACAAAAUCUUUCUCCAUCUCCAUUUUGCCUGCCAGUUCAUAUGGUUUACUGGUGGCAUAUUUUAACAUAUAUACGCUCUUGAAAUCUCUUCAGAACGAGCCCAUCGCCGUUUGUAGUUCCUGUUGCGAGGUAUAAUAAGGCCAACUAUAUCCAGCAAUCAGUUGGCAUGAGAAUGGCUAUGAUGUUUGAGACAGAGGAGUCAAGCAAGCGCAGGUUUGUCCACUAACUAGAACUAAAUACUUUGUCAUAGGCAGAUAGCAUAUUUUUUCUGCUUUUGAUUUGAUGCUCUGUAUUCUACUCCAGUAAACUGCAACUGAUGUUAGAAGGCAAUAUAUACUGUCAUGCUUUCAAGUUUAAAUUACUUGUUCUGCAAAUCUUUCUCACUUUCAUCUUUGAGAAAAAUGACCAUAUCAAGCCACCUCUAGAAUAUUGAGUAGUAGUAUAAUGCAAUAUACCAUUCACUUAUGAAGGUUUAGCACCAUCUUUCAAUGUGUAUGCUCGGUGAAGUUGUUCUGCAUCAUAUCUGAAUAAAAAUGUAUCUGUUUGACAGAUACACUGGUACAAUUGUGGGAGUUAGCGACUCUGAUCCGAUGAGAUGGCCCAACUCCAAAUGGCGCAACUUGCAGGUGCCUUGCUUUCCUUCCAAAAAACUUGAAUGAACCUACCUGCCUAUCAUCAUGUAGCCAUCCUUAUGUACAUUGCAUUAACAGAUUGAAUGGGAUGAACAUGGAUACGGAGAAAGACCCGAGCGUGUGAGCAUAUGGGACAUUGAAACUCCGGAGAACACUAUAGUGUUCCCUUCCGCAUCAUUGAAUUCGAAGCGACAAUGCCUGCCUGGUUAUGGAGGUACUUCUCAACCAUGCUUUAUUACUUGCAGUACCUGGGGUAGUGACUGAGUCUGAAAAUAUUUGUUGUACCAUUUCGUAAGUUGGAAACUAACCCUUUUUUUUUACUUGCAGUGCCUGGGCUAGAUAUUGCAUCUGUAAAUAUGUCACCAUUUCAAAGGGCACCUGGAAAUCCAUAUGGUAACUUGCAGCAUAUGCCCGCCGUUGGAUCAGAAUUGGCUAUGAUGAUGUUUCUGAAUCAAUCUGGCCAAAACAUAGGGACUCCACUCAGUUGUCACCAGUCCUCUUAUUCUAGUAUUAUUCAAAAUGUCAAGCAAAACUACAUGCCUCCUUCAACAUUUGGUCAUCCCAUUGGUUCAAUAAAGCCAGAAAGCAUGCCUUCCAAUGAAGCCCAGCAGCAGCAGCUGCAUGCUCCUAAGAUGCAGAGAGGCAAUUCAGAAAGCUGUGAAGUUCAGCCUGCCACUGAUUCAGUUUCUGCGUCGGAGCUACAUGCUGCAGGAAGAGAGCCAAGAUACACAGAUAAAUCUCCAAGUCAAAGCAUUUCAGAGCAAAAUGGCAAGGGUGAGCCUAGAGUCAAGCCUCGGAGGAGCAAGAAAGGCUCAUCUCACAAAACCAUUUCAGAGAAUUCUGAACUUUCUUCGGCACCUUCACGGUUUUGCGAUGACCAACAACAUGUUUCAGAAGCAGAACUAGUCAGUUGUGACACCAAACAUGUUAACUGUGGUAACAAUGAAGGUUCAUCUGGUGCACUUACUCAUGGUGAUUUUGCUGGACAGCUGCAGUGUCAGCAGGUCGAACAAAAUGAACUAGUGUCACCACCAAAGUUGGAAUCAUCAAUAUCACCUGAUGGAGGGAAGUCAGUUAACUCAUUUCCCAACCAGGCGUCUUUUUCGCAGUUCUUCGAUGGUCUGGAUUGGAUGGUUCAGCCUCCCUAUUACCAAGACUCCAAUGGGAUUCAGUCAGUUAGUGCAUCAGAGAACAUCUUCAGUCCAUCUGCUAAUAUAGGUUCCACAAUAAAUACUGAUACUCUGGAGACUUUUCAGAAUUCUUGCCUCUCAGACUGCUUCCCCAAUUCCAUACAAGACUUCAUCGGCAGCCCGGAUCUGCAUUCACUAACAUUUCUGUCACCUGAGAUGCAAAAUCUGGAUGUCCACCACGACGGAAGCAACGUACCGAGCACAUCCAACUCGUAUGUACAAAUGAGCUUCUCUGAAGAUGAUAGUGGAAGUCACAUGGAAUCCAUUCAAAGAGGAAUGAAUAACAUCUCUUCUUGCUCUCAACCACAGACUACCGAGGGCUUUAAUCUGGGAAUGUACUCGAAGUUGCCAAGUUUGAAGGAGUCUCAGGUUUUGUCUCUGCCAGAGAUCCAUAACAGUUCCAGGGGCACAUCAUCAUGCAGCAUGGAUGCAGCAGAGUACAGCAUUGACCGAAGCGCAAAGCCGUUGAAACCACCGGUGCGGACAUACACAAAGGUAUGGUACUACAACACUUCCAAGUAGGCAGCAUUUGCUGAAACUUCUCUGAUAAUGAGAUUGUAACUUCAAGCUUUUGCUUAUGCUAAUGUUAUCUUCUGAUCCAUGACAAGCAGGUUCAAAAGCUAGGAUCUGUUGGAAGAUCUAUCGAUGUCACGCGGUAUAGAGAUUACCGUGAGCUGAGAUCAGCCAUCGCAUCCAUGUUUGGGCUCCAGGGGAAGCUCGAGCACCCUGCAAGUUCAGACUGGAAGCUAGUGUACGUCGACUACGAAAACGAUGUGCUUCUUGUUGGCGACGAUCCAUGGGAGUAAGUAUCUGCAGCUCUGUUUCUUGACAAAAUCCAGCAUAACACAUCCCUUGGGUUAAUCCAUGUCCUAAUGUAGUACUCCCUCCGUAAAGAAAUAUAAGAGUGUUUUGAUCACUAAAAUAGUAAUCUAAACACUUCUAUAUUUCUUUACAGAGUGAGUACAGUUCUUAGGAAUUCUUCACUCACUCACUCACUCACUGACCGUAUUGUGCUCCUCUGAAUCUUGGCAGGGAAUUCAUCAACUGCGUGCGAUGCAUCCGGAUCCUAUCACCUUCAGAAGUACAGCAGAUGAGCGAGAACGGCAUGCAAGUCUUGAACGACUGCAUCCAAGCAGACCAGUAGGCCAACUCACUGAUCAGGAUGCGUCUGGAAAAUCAAAAUAAAGCAGAGAGCAAGAUUAAGCUAGAUUGCUGUUCUGAACACAGUAGUGCCUUCCUUAGUUAAUUGUAGGCUGAUUUUUUGACAGUGUAUUUUGGUAGGGGAUUUAGAUUUACCAGCGUUUUGUGUGGUGUUAUCAUCAUCUUUCCCAAAUGCUGAAGAACCCCCAGGCAGUUUGCUGUGCGAUUGCUACUUCCAGUGCUUGUUUGUGAUGAUGCGCAUUAUAGAGAGAGCCUGAUGUCUCAACACCAGUGUAAAUGUUAGGAUUUGGGUUGUCAAUUGUAGAUUCAUUUACAACUACUCCCUCCUUUCCUAAAUAUUUGUCUUUCUAGAGAUUUCAACGAGGGACUACAUACGGAGCAAAAUGAGUGAAUCUACACUCUAAAAUAUGUUUAUAUACAUCCGUAUGUGGUAGUCUAUUUGAAAUCUCUAAAAAGAUAAAUAUUUAGGAACGGAGGGAGUAGUUUGACAGGUGUGGAUCUUUGUUGGCAAUGGUGGGUGCCCUGCUCAGCAUCACUCACUGCACUCUCUAUGUCAGUUGCUCUGUUGCAUAACCCUAUAUAUAUGUACACAAAUGCUAUGCAGAUAGGGCUUUUUUCGCGUACCUGGAUCUGGAUCUGGAGCUACAUUCUCUGUUGUCGCCUCAUGUGUCGUUUUCGUCAGUAUAAAAAUGCAGCAAAGUAGAAUGUUUUUGUUCCCAAAAUUGGUCGGGCAGACAGUUUAAGGUUGAGGUUGAGGUCAAGCCUCCUCCUGCUAUGCUAUAAUAAUGGGCACGGCGACCCUGACGACACGACAGACCAAGAAGAGCUUCAGAAACGGGAACCGAAAUCCAAACCCCCGACCCACCCAAGCGUCUCCGCUCUCCUUCUGCCGCAGUGGCCCGCCGCGACGCCAAGAUAGGGACCGACGCCCCCGCCCCCGCCCCGGCCGCGGCCGCCGGAGACGGCGACGCGGCCCGGAAGCGGCCGGGCGGGCAGGACGCGGCCGCGGGCGCCGACAGCAAGCGCCGCCGCGCGGAGCACCCCUCCUCCGGCUCCCGGGACCGCAACCCCCACCAGCCGCAGCGGCAGCAGCAGAAGCCGGGGCGCCCCGGGGACGGGGGCAAGGGGAAGAGGGAGACGAUGCGGGCGUCGCACAUCCUGAUCAAGCACGAGGGGUCCCGGCGCAAGGCCUCGUGGCGGGACCCCGACGGCGUCGCCAUCUCCGCCACCACCCGCGACGACGCCGCCGACCUCGCCCGCGCCCUCCGCGACCAGAUCGCCGCCGGGGAGCUCCAGUUCGACGCCGCCGCCCGCGACAACUCCGACUGCAACUCCGCCAAGCGCGGCGGCGACCUCGGUCAGUGCCCCCUCCCCCCCCUGCCCGCCCGAUUUGCUGGUGCGCGCGCGCUAUGUGCCAUGUUUGUGUGGAUUUGCUUCUGGGUGUGGCCAAUUUGGGGGUGUCGGUGGCGCUUGGUGUGUGGAAUGCUGAUCAGAAUUUGGCAAAACUAGCUUGCGUGGCGUGUUACAUAACCUGGAUAUGUUGGCUGGUCCCAUACAGCCUCACUGGAGUGCUGCAUCUCUGACUGAGAGAUGCACUAUAAUUCAGGCAAUAAUCUGAGUUGUUAUGCAGGAGUAGCUUCAAUUGUGUGCAACUAUGGAUGAAUGCCAGAUGUUCCCUCUUCAACUCUUUAAGCAUUCUACAAGUUCUGUUGGCUUCUUAGCCCCACUAUAAGGCGGUUUGUUGUCAGUACCCAUGUCUGUUAUAUUGGAACUGACCAAUUAAUAUCUCUCUCUUUAUCUAAUCUUAGCCCACUAUAAGGCGGUUCGUUGUUGGCACCCAAGUCUGUUGUAUUCGAACUGACCAAUUGAUGUCUCUCUGUUAUCUUAGUCCACUGCAAGUCGGUUAGUUGUUGGUACCCAUGUCUAUUGUAUUUGAACUGACCAAUUAAUAUCUCUCUGUUCCUGUCAUAUUUUUUUUUGACCUUUCAGUGAUUAGGUAAGUACUUAUAUCCACUAGAACAAAUAAUGGUCGCGUUAACCAACUCAGGAUGAUUUACUCCAGUUAGUUCCCUAAUUUGCUCUUUCUAUGAGUUUUGUUAAUAAUAAUUGCGAAGGUUUCCUUGUUUUCUCUGAUUUUUUUGUUGCCUGCAACUAUAUGUAAAAACUGGUAGUACAUGCUUUAUGUAUGUUAUAAUUCCAAUGUCCAGGCUACCUUUUGAGCCUGCCCUUAGCCAGGUCAUUUUUUAGCUGAGAUUCCUACCUGCAUGAAUAUUGUGGAAUGUUGCAGGGAUAACACACGCCUGUGGGACACACCAAAAUACACUAUAAAGACGUGGUGAUAUAUUACUUUUCCAAAAACAAGAAGCUGACCAACUGAACAUGGUGGCAUGUUUAAAUUGUAUAGUGUUUCAUAGUUGUUCUGUCCAAAAUUACAGCAUGCUUCUCUGCAGUACCUUUUCUAUAAUUGAUAAUUUCCUAGGGUUAUCGAAUCAUCGAUUUUGGAACAUUAAAUGGGACAAUUGAGCACCAUUAUGAGCAAGAACGUUAAAAAAAUUUAAGUCGACCAACCAGGCACUAGCACCCAGUGGCAUUGUUCUAAAGAAGUACGACGGACACCAGCCAGUCAGUCCGUGGUGCGUAAACAAAUUCCACCUCAUGCAGGUGUUGAACCCUGGUGGGCGUGUUGUCACUGGAGCACCCCCACCAAACGAGUGACGUUCGGUUCUCAAAUAUGUUCUUAUUGUGUUGACAUAUUUGCACUGCAUGCACCCAGCAUCCACAAGGGACUAAAAUCAUGAAAAUAGCACACAUCACUAGAUUUUUUUCUUCCUGGCGCAGUAUUUUUUCUAGUGUUCUUAACCAACUGCAUCUUACAUUGCUAAGAAAUGUGAAUUGCUCUAGGCCUGUUCAGGUAAACUCUAUUUUGCAUGGGAGUAUGGGAUGAAACAUCUGUACAACGUAGACAAUCCCUGCAUUAAAAUGCUAGUUCAAAACUGCGACACUUAUUAGGGAGUAUCAUAUUUCGGGGAUGCAGUCUAGAAUCUGUUUUGCCUUGAUUUAUGUUAUUUGGAUGCUGUAAUGAAGGAAUGCCAUGUGCAUCAUACUGUUAUGUCUUGUCUUUUUCCGCGACAAACUCGUGGUCUUUCCAGUUUCCACUACUAGUACUUCAUUACUGUCUUCUAUUGUACCCCUGAUGCUUCAAUUCAGUCAUUCUCUUUAUGAUUCAAAAAUUCGUUCAUAAUCAGGCCUAACUUAGCGUUUCACGAUUUAUGGCCGUAGGUCCAUUCGAGAAGGGCAAGAUGCAGAAGCCUUUCGAGAAGGCAGUGAUUGCUCUGAAGGUGGGGGACAUGAGCGACGUGGUUGAUACUGAGAGCGGGGUGCACAUCAUCUUGAGGACCGGGUGACAGUGUCCGUGGAGAUCCAUAUGAGAUUGGCUUGAAACAUCGCUCGUUCUCUUAAGCAGAGACCUUUUGUUAUUUAACCUGCAUUGUAACAGUGCUGACUGCAAAGCUACUAAGGGAUUGGUUGUAUGCCAGGAUUAGACGUUGGUGGUGCCUGUGUUGUCUCGAUAAUGUUACAGCUUUUGAGUGGAAUUCAGUUGUUAUUUAAGGUUCAAGUGUUGAACAGUCAAUUUGAGUCCAGCCACUUUCACAUUCACAUAUUUGCGUUUACCAUGACCACUGCACUUGUCUCGGGAAGAUCACUAGCGAAGCAACAACUAAAACACAUGAGAUGACAAUCACAACAGUAAGUAGUAU